UGGAAAACCAUCUUCAAGCCUGUCAAUUCUUAGUGUUUGCAAAGCUAUAAAGUUUGCAAAGAGAUUCUGGCAAAGUUCUAAUCCAAGAACCUGAAAUGUCAAGUGUAAAUGUAUUAGUUUGCCAAUGGAGGUCGGCAACUCUUUGACAUCUGCUCCAAACAAUUUUAGGACAUGCAAGUAUUUGAACUUAGAUAACUUUUCAUCAGCUAUGCCACCCUCCAGAAAUAAUGUGCGAAGUGAUGCUGAUGAUUUUUCAUUGAUUCUUUCGGGUGAGUAUACCGCAAGGUAACGGUCCUGAUUGCUGCUGUUACGAUUCAAAAUUGAUUUUGCAAAAUCGUGCACAAGAUCAUGCAUUUUAUACCAUGUUCUCCACUCCUCUUUAACUUCUUCCAUAAGGAAGUUUGCAGCAAAGUUCUCAGAUACUCAUAUCCUAUUUUCUCCAUCGUUCUUUCAUUUUGGAAUCCGGUUGAAGAAAGCCUUCAGCCAUCCAAUGCUCAACUAGUAGAUCUUGUUCCAAUUUAGUAUCUUGAUCAAAAAUUGAGCAAUAUGCAAAACAUUUCUUAACCGGUGCAGGUGACAGAUGAUCGAAACUCACCUUAAUUAUUUGCUCAAUCCCACCUUGAUCUCCAUUCAAGAGACUCUCCUCCAAAAUAGAUAGCCACUCCUCUUUUCUCUUUUUAGAUAACAAACCUCCGAUUAACUUUGCUGCCAGAGGUAGACCAUCACAUCUUCUUAAAACUUGCUCCUUAUGUCUUCCAAUUCUUUUGGUACUUCUUCCGCCACAUUUGCCCAUUUUUUCAUGAUAGACCAGCAGUCAUCAUUGCAUAGCCUUCCUAUCUCAUGGCGAGUAAAAUUGAUCGGCGGAUGUCUAGACAGAAUAGUUGCCACUUCUUGCAGACGAGUGGUAACAAGACACCAGCUCCCUUUCUUAGCAUUGAGUCCCGCCAAAGUGCUGAAAAAGUCAUCCAACAAUACUUCUUGAUCAUUCCACAAAUCAUCAAGAACAAGGAAAUAUCUUUUUUCCUUGAGUUCAUGCUGAAUUUUUUGAACUAUUACCUCCCUACGAUCCCCUUCAACCUUUCCUCCUAUUAACGAUUCUAGAAUCAUUUGAAGACCACCUCAAUUCUAUCUACUUUUUCAGCCACACAAACCCACAUUGUUUGGUCAAAAUGCCCAACAAUUUGCUCAUUUUUGUAAAUGGCUUUAGCUAGAGUUGUUUUGCCUAAACCACCCAUGCCAGUUAUGGGAAUAACUGAAAUAACACUUUCAGUUUCGGUCAACAACUUCUUAACUAUUUCUGAUUCAUCCUCGUCUCUUCCUAGGACAUCUCUUCGAACAAUAGUAGAGUCGGUCUGUCGGCUUGUUGUGGCUCCAGCUGCUAUAGUAGCGAAUGCUACUUCAACUUGGUGCUUGUAGGCCAGUCCCAAACCUUCGGCAUCCCGAUGGAUCCUUUGAAGGUUCGUGUUGAUCUCCCUGAUCAUUGAACCCAACCUCCAACGAAAACCAAUUUUAUUAAAGAAUGAAAAGCAGAAGAAUACCUUCUUUUUCGUGAGUUGAUUUUGAUACUUCACCUUCCGACGAAGAUUUUCAUAGUUGAGCUCGUCCAGCACAUUGUCAGCUUUGAAAACCUCUUCUUCCAGCUGCUUGAGCCACUUUUGUACCCAACAAGCUUCGGAUCAUGGCUAUGCAUUUCCUCAUCAGCACCGGCCAAGAAGCCUCGGAUCAUUUCAGCAGAAUCGUUGAGUCUCUCCAGCUCCGUUGGGAAUUCACGAACCAGAUUAACAUGAUCAGCGGCAAGGGAAACAACCGUCUGCAACCCAACCUGAAUAGUAGCACUAACAGCGCAUCAGCCAUUUUUUCUCGCUUGGGAUUGGAAUUAGGAUGAAAGUGUUCUGCAAUGGUGAUGAGGGGAUGCUUUCUGCGAUGAGACAAGGAAGGUAUGGUUCAACUUUGGCAACUAAGGGCAGCAAAAUGUGUGGAGGCUAACACUUGCGGGAAUGAAAAUUUUCCACACAACUUUUUACACUUCCAAGUAUUUCCACUUUUUGCAAUUUGCCCCCCGGCUUCACGUUAAAUUCUGUGUAGUGUAAUCGGAUAAUUCAAGACAAGUGUGAAAGUAAAGCAUAUGACAAAGAAGGCAGCACGUUGCAACCUGAUAUAUACGGACAAGAAGGGAAUAUUUCUACAAAAGCAAGUGGUGACCUAUAACCGGGGUUUGGAAAUGUUGCGUACUGCAGAAGCUGGAAAUGUGUUGGAGUGUCACGAAAUUAAUAUAAAUAUAAAGGGCCUAGAAUAAAACACGAAAAGGAAGCGUAAGCAGUACUAACACACCAGCCAUGCUUGGCUUUGAAACAACAUAUGGUCAUUAAUGAAUAAGGAGUUGAGAGCCUUUAAGAAGUGAAACUUAAGAAAAUAAAUGUUUGAAAUAUUAAGUUUUUUAAUUAUCUAAUUUAUUUUGAUUUAUAGACGUUCUAAUAUAUAGUCAUUUGGAGGACUUCUAUAGCUGAAGUACUGAAUCCUUUUUGGACUUUUAAUAAAUUUGAGUUAUUUUUCUUUUGAUUUCUCACUUUUCUAACAACUUUUAUCUAAUCUACUAAAUUUGAAUUAUUAAAAUUGAGUUUUAAUUGUUAUAGUAGUAAAAUAUUAACAUUUGUGAAAACUGAGUUUGUGGGAAGAUAGACUAUUGCUCGUUUCACAUUUAAUUGAAUACAAAUAUCUCUACUUUACAUAAAGUGUCCAAGGCUGAGGAACAGUGAAUUCCAAUUGAUUCUCCCGAUUAUGGCAUACAUCAACAAAAUACUAUCUAUUUAUGGACAUUUUACUCUGAAUCAUUACAUUUAUGUAAAAUACAUAAAUAUUGUAACUAAAAUUGAAAAACUGUUACACUAAUAUUUUUACGAAAGGAAAAUUGAUUGUCCUGUAUUUAACAUAAACUGAUUUUUGUGAAAGUAAAAAACAUAUUGCCCAUAACAUACCUGCUCUUUAUGGUUUUUUGCAUUACAUCAACAAAAUACUAGCUAUUUAUGGGCAUUUUAUUCUGAAUCAUUAUAUUCAUAUAAAUAUAUAAAUGCUUGUAAUAAAAUUGAACAAGUGUUACACUAAUAUUUUUACGAAAGGAAAACUAGUAAAUUUUGUAUUUAACAAAUUUUAAAUAUGUGAAAGUAAAAAAGUUUUGCCAUAACAUACCAGCUCUUUAUGAGUUUUUUGCAUUACAUCAACAAAAUACUAACUAUUUAUGGAUAUUUUACUCUGAAUCAUUACAUUUAUGUAAAAUACAUAAAUAUUUGUAACUAAAAUUGAAAAAGUAUACUUUUACGAAAGGAAAACUAGUAGAUUUUGCAUUUAACAAAUUUUAAAUAUGUGAAAGUAAAAAAGAUUGCGCCCAAAACAUACCAGCUCUUUAUGGAUUUUUUUGCAUUACAUCAGCAAAAUACUAGCUAUUUAUGGGCAUUUUACUCUGAAUCACUACAUUUAUGUAAAAUACAUAAAUGUUUGUAACUAAAAUUGAAAAAGUGAUACACUUAUAUUUUUACAAAAGAGAAACUGGUAAAAUUUGUAUUUAACAUAAAUUAAAUAUGUUAAAGCAAUAUUAAAGGUGAUUUUAUUAGUUACUUAAUUUGUUGGUAAGAAACAAGGUUUCUUUUGCAAAAUUUGUUCAUUAGAUUUUUCCAAAUAAUUAGGAUGUAAAGGUAAAUUUUCACAAUCUUUUGUUAGCAAUAGACCCUAAUUUCCUCCUAGGCAGUGACGAAGCCAAGAUUUUUUUCUUGGAGGGAGGGCCAAAAUGAUUGAUAAAUAAAAUUAUUUUAAUAUGUUAUGUUCAAAAUAAUUUUCAUCUAUUUAAAUAUAUGGCAUCCUAAAAUAUCAAAUAUUAAGUUUAAUUAUAAAAGUAUGUCUAUUUAAUAAAUAUGUAGUAUAGUCAUAACUAAAAUUAAAAUAAGAAAUAACAUUUGAUUAAAUAUCUUAUAGGAAAAAAUGAACUUUUCAUCUUCAAAGUUUGGGUGGUUGGCCAAUUUCAUCCUCAAAGUUUCACCCCAAACAUAUUGCAUCCUCAAAGUUUCGUAAUUUUGGCCAAUGAAGGACAAUUGACGGGAAAUGAAGAAUUGAUCGUUAGAACCAACGAUUUUACCCAACAAAAAAUGGGUAAAACCGAAUAGAGCCAUUUUUAAUGGAACAAUUGCAACGAACAAAGGCUCAAUUCUUCUCCUUCUUCGCGCUGUCUUUCUGCAACCCCAAAAUUUUUUUGCCAAUCUCUGGAGUUUUAACGACCGUUAUACAACUUUCAAAAUAAAUAAAUUCAUUCUAAAUUUUUAUUUGGGAUUAUUUCAUUAACCAAAUCGCGUCACUUUGUGUAAAGUAUCACUUUCCCAUAAAAGACCUGCUCUUUAUGGCUUUCCUCUAUUAUAAGAACAUGGUACCCAUUUUUUAUAACUAAAUUUAUUUAUUGAAUAAAAUAAAAAUAAAUUCAUUUUCUAAUAAAAGACCAGCUCUUUAUGGCUUUCUCCAUUAUAAGAACAGAGUACCCAUUUUCUCAUAAAUAAAUUUAUUUAUUGGAUAAAAAAAAAUAAACCCGUUUUUCAAUAAAAGAUCAGCUCUUUAUGACUUUCCUCCAUUUUAAGAACAGAGUACCCAUUUUUCCAUAAACAAAUUUAUUUAUCAGAUAAAAUAAAAAUAAACCCAUUUUUUCAAUAAAACACCAGCUCUUUAUGAUUUUCCUCCAUUAUAAAAACAGAGUACCUAUUUUGAAAGCAAAAAGAAAUUUGUUUAUCGGAUAAAAUAAAAAUAAACUCAUUUUUCAAUAAAACACCAAUUCUUUAUGACUUUUUUCCAUUAUAAGAAAAGAGUGCCCAUUUUGUCAUAAACAAGUAACUUCUUUAAUUAGAAACCAUCGACCCCUUACCAAAGACGAUCAAAUGCAACUAAAUGAUUUUCUUGCAAGAAAGUUGCCAAAAGCAGCUUUGUGACUGUAGUUGCUACUUUUUUUUUCAACAUUUUUCUAGCAAGAGGUAUCAUUAAUGUCAAUAUUGAGAUAUAGCAAAAAUUUUAUACGAAAUAACAAACCAAUUUGUCAUUACAAAUACAAAACGAGCAACAAUAUAUUACAACCAAUACUAUCAACAGUACAAAGCACAAAGAUACUCAAAUCAAAUCCUAAUUAGGCUUUAAUAUGUACAACCAAAAUUGCCAGGGAUAACAAAUGCUAAGAUAGACGAUGUCCGAUAUACAAUGAGUAUCAUGUUUGCAUUAAUUGGCGAAGUCCAUAAUCGAAGUAGCUUGUAAGAGCUUCAUAGCCAGGUUUACUACAAUCCACCAUCAACCUACAGAGUCCAAUGGAAAAAAAAUUAUUAAACAGAAAUUUACAUUGGUAGUUAGAUAAAUUAAACCUGCAUUAGCCUACAUAUAUCAACUAAGACAUUGAUCCUCAUAUUGUUGCAUGAAAAGAAAUGAAAAUGAGGGACUUUAAAAGAAAUGCUAAGGAUCACUUUUAUUAACCACAAGUACAAAAUGUGAACUGAAUUUCAAACUACAAGUUGGUAGCAUGUACUUAAGAUGAAGAAAUCAUUAUGACCCCAAUUGACAUGAAACCAAUCGUAAAGUAACGCCAAGGCUGUUUCCUUCAACACAAAAAUAGUAAAUGCAUUCACUCAUUCAAAAUUGAGAAGUAGCUAAACAAGCGUAACUUUCGGACUUGGAAAGCAUGAAAUGAACUUGGAAAAAGGAAUUAGAUUUUACUACCAACAAGGCUUCCAAGGUGCAAAUAGCCAAUGAGAUCCUUUUUUUUAAUCCUUAUUAUUUUUGUCCAGUAUGUUCACUUAAAAGAAAACUAUAUUCUAUUUACUAGAUCUUUAGUUAAGAAAUAAACAAAAAAUUAAAUCAUCAAAAAGCAAAAAGACCAAAGGCAUUAAAACUUGCACAAACAUUCAGGAGGAGGAGAAGUUAUCACCUAAGAGAAUCACAUGCAACGCAAUGAAAGCAUUAGAAUUAACCCAAAGGAAGGGAAAAAAUAUGCUUCAUGAAUGGUCCUACAACACCGAAACACAAAACAAUAGAUAAUGAUGAACCACCACAAACCAGUCCAAAGACAAGCAAAAUCACCUACACCAUCAAUCCUAAUCACCAACCGGAGUAGAAAAUCAUCCAAAAUUUCAGUAAGUCACCGAAUAAAUAAGGCUUAAAUCUUAGAACAUGUCAUAAUCAGUGUUUAGCAUUCAAAAAUUGUGUAAUACAGGGGGUUUGGGACAACAAAAGGGGACAAUUAGGGCUGGGCAACGAGAGGUACGGAGGAAUGGAAACGAGAGUGGUAAAGAGAGGAGAUUGAACAAUACGACAAAGCAGGGGAAAAAUCAAAUCGUGGAAGGAAGAAUUCUAGUAUGAAAAUAUGUUGGAGACUACCUGAAAUCUUAGAUCUGAAAUUUUGACGGGCCGUUUUCAUUUUGCCUUCCAGUAAGACCCCUUUCUCUACUCCAACUGAGAUGCCCAUUCACUCUAAUCCACUGAAGUAGAAGCCUACAAUUUCAAAAAGUUUAUCUUGCGAUUGUUAAAUUGACCAAAAUGCAAGAAAAAGGCAAUUGACAAAACAGAGAUGAAAAUAACAUAUUAAAAACCUACACUACACUGUCUUUUCCUUGAAGUCUGCCAUUGCAUCGGAAGGGUCUUUAAAGUGUGUCCAUGAUUGUAUAAAUUCAGAUCUGGAUGCUAGAGAGGAAGAGGGGAACCAUAUGUCUACGGGAAACUGAAAAUUGAUAGAGAGGGAAAGAGAGAUAGAAGGAGAAAGGUGCAGGGGAGGUUGCGAUUGAACUUUCGAGGGCUCUGAUCUGAGAACAAUAUUUGGGAAAGUAGCCUGCAAGUAUGGAAGGCUUGGAAUUCAUGUGGUGCUAGGCUUGACAAGUGCUGUGCCGGGAAUGGUUAAAAAAUUUUCAAUGCGCGGCUCUGCUAAAAAUUGGAAGGGAGCAAAAUUUUGAAAUUUUCACAAAAAGCACCCAUGAUUUCUCACCAAUAACAUAGAAACUUUGGCCCACUAGAAUCAGUAUUUGGAGGGAAGCUUUCCGCGCUCCUUUUGGCGAGAAUUUUAAGCGAGAAAAGUCCUUGCCCUCGCAGAGUAUAUGAUGGCUCCAAUUUUUGGUGAGGUAUUGUCCUUUUCUUUGCUAUAAGCCUCUUAAGAGCGUCAAGCUUUCUACUUCUUGCUAAAGUUGUUGUCGCUAAUACCCUUUUUUGUUGUAGUGAACGGAGGAAAACCAUAAAGAACUGGUGUUUUAUUGAAAAAUAUAUUUAUUUUUUCAUCUGAUAAAUAAAUUUAUUUAUGAAAAAAUGGGUACUCUAUUCUUAUAAUAGAGGAAAACUAUAAAGAGCUUGUGUUUUAUUAAAACGGGUUCAUUUUUAUUUUAUUCGAUAAAUAAUAUUUUUUUAGAAAAAUGGGUACUAUAUUCUUAUAAUGAAGGAAAGUCAUAAAGAACUGGUUUUUUAUUGAAAAAAGAGUUUAUUUUUAUUUUAUUCGAUAAACAAAUUUGUUUAUGGCAAAAUGGAUACUCUUUUCUUAUAAGGGAGGAAAGCCAUAAAGAGCUGAUGUUUUAUUGAGAAACGGGUUCAUUUUUAUUUUUUGAUAAAUAAAUUUUUUUAAUCCAUAAAUAAAUUUGUUUAUGGCAAAAUGGGUACACGGUUCUUAUAAUAGAGGAAAGGCAUAAAGAGUUAGGAUUUUAUUGAAAAAUGGGUUUAUUUUUAUUUUAUCUGAUAAAUAAUUUUUUUUAGGAAAAUGGGUACUCUGUUCUUAUAAUGGAGAAAAGUCAUAAAAGUUCAUUUUUUUUAUUGAAAAAUGGGUUUAUUACAAUUUUAUUCCAGCCAACUGUGACCCAUUUUCCCACUAACCUAAGUCAGACGGACUAAAUCAUUGAGUUUGUUAACCACAGUCAAAAUUAAUACAGAAGCAGCUGACUCAAAUCACUCAAUCCUUUAUGGCUUAUACCAAAUGAAUACUAGGAAGCUUAUUUGAAAUAACAAUAAAAUUUUUAUAAAUAAAAAAUUUAGUACAUUAGUUAGUAAGUACUCGUAACAUACUUGUAUAAUGCAUGAUUAUAUGUAUAAUUUAAUAUUCUUUGUACUUAUAUAUUUUAAAAUAUUUUGUGAAAAAUAUUUUGGCCUUUCACAUAACCUUAGAAAAUAAUAAAAUUUUAUCGUAUUAUAAAAUAAUAAUUUUAUGUUAUUAUAUUCAUAGGUGUUAAGUUAUAAAAAUUGUGAUAUAGAAACAAGUGAUAUUCUACAUGUAACUAGGAAAUUUGUUGUUAUCGUUAUCCAAAUUUCAAAUUUUUCAAAAAUUGAAAAUGAUUACAAACUUACUUUUCUACAAUUAGUAUAAUUUGUUAAUUAGCCAAAAUUCUAGCAAAAGGCAAGCAAAUGCAACUUGUAAUCAAUCCAUUCUGAUGCAUGUAAAAAUAAGGUAGCAUUGUGCAAAUAAAUAAAAAAAUCCACUUUAUAUAGUUCGUUGUGACAACAGGCUUAUCCCCACUUUUGUUUGAGUUUUGAUUACAAUGGAUAUAACCUAUUCCCUCCAAACCCAAAUUUUGAAUUAUAACAUUCAACCAAAACAUGCUUAAACUCUCAGGCUCGGUCAUACAAGGACAACUAGUGUGAAUAUCCAUGCUACGCACGGUGCUUACAUUAUUAAAAUAAAUUAAAAAAUUAUACCAUUUUAAUUUGAAAAAAGUUAAAAAAAUUAUACCAACAUAAUUAAAAUUUAAGAUUUGUCUAACAAUAGUUCAAAGUAUGACAAAAACUGUAAAUCAUUCAAGAAUUGUGUUUUUGCAGAAGAUGGAUCUUAAAAUAAUAAUAAUAAUUUAUAUUAGAAAAUGAAUAAUAUAUGGAUAGAAAUAAAUGUAAUUGCAUGUUUUAUUUGAUUUUAAAAUGAAAUACUUACCAACAUUAUGCAUUUGAUUUGAUAAUCUUGUACAAAGGUGCGAAUAUUUUUUACACCAAUCAACUUUUAGUAUGAAAAUUAAUAUUGGUGGUUUAAUUAAUUCUAUUGAAUUUUGAAGAAUUCGUACUACAAAAAAAGUUCAGCAAGACUUGUAUUUUUUUUAAGUGAACUUGCUGAAUCUUUUUAAAAUAUUUCAUUGGGAUCACUAUGGUGUGAGAUUCGCUUUGUGAUUAGUUAUUUUUUUUCUUUGUAAUCUUGUAGGUUUGAAAUUAAGAUGCCAUUGAAAUCAAUAAUGGAACCAAUGGGGGCUAAUGGAGGUCAUAGCCCUCCUCCCCAAGUUUUAAAAAUUUUAAUUCAUAUUAUAUAAAUAUUUGUGUAAAAUAAAACAGGUCCUCCAAAUUUAUUAUAAUUUUAGUUUAUAUUAUGAGAAUAUAUAUAAGUAUAUAUGUGUGCGUGUGUACGUGAAAUAACUACAUUUGGGUGGGAUCACCAUAGUGUAAAAUUCAUUUUGUGAUCAGUUAUUUUCUCUUUUGUAAUCUUGCAGGUUUGGAACUAAGACGCUAUUGAAAUUUGUUUGGAUAGAGUGUUAUUUAAAAUAUUAUUUGAAAUAAUUAUGAUAGUACUUUUUGUGAUAUGAUGUAUGUGAGAUAAAAAGGUGGGUUGAAAAAUGUGUUUAUGAUGUAAGCAAAAUAUUAUUUGGAAAAAUCUUCUAUCCAAACACUCCCAAACUAAUAGGGGCUAAUCGGGCCAUAGGUCCCUUCUUCCCAAAGUUUUAAAAAUUUUAAUUCAUAUUGUGUAAAUAUUUGUGUAAAAAAAAGUUAGCCCUUCUAAUUUUUUUAUAAUUUUAGUUUAUAUUAUGAGAAUAUAUAUAUAUGUAUAUAUGUAUGCGUGUGUGUGUGAAUUAACUACCUUGAAUUAAUUUUUUAUUAAAAAAUUAUUUAUUUUUUAAUCCCUUUAUAAUUUGUGAAUGAUUGUGAGAGUAAAUAUAUUAUGACAAUAAGAUACGUUGAAUUGUGAAAAUUGAAUUUAAACAAGCUACUAAAUUUUGGAUAUUUGACUUUUGUAGUUGAAUUUCUUAAAUUAACGAUUAGUUAUUACUAUCAGUGAUAUGAUAAGUGUCAGUAAUAAAUGUGAGAUGUGAAUUGAAAUUUGCAGAUAUCAUUUUACAGGGUGGUUAUUAUCUGUUUGUUAAAGUUUAGGAGUUUGAAUUUUAUGGGGUAGUGGAAAAACGUGAGGGAAAUGUGGGAAAAAUAUGAGCAUGAUUAUAGGAUUUAGGAGCGGUUACAUGAUUAGUUAAGAGAUAAACAUUUUUUAAUUAUAAAAAUGUAAAAUUCUAUUAAAAUAGCAUUCAAACUUUUGACAAUUUUGGAAGCUCCUUAUCCAAAACCCCCUCAGCAAUACAUAUAGAUAUACUCAACGAUAGUUAUGGUAGCGAAAUAGUUUUUACCUAAUAUAACAUGUUGUUGCACUUUUAACGAUCAUUUGAUUUAUUGUUGGACCUAUUCACCUAAAUAGAAUAACACCUAAAAUUAUGGAAGUAAGUUUCCUAUCUAAAAUAGUAAGUUAAGCCUAAUAAAUUAGUAACUUUUAUACCUCAAAAGGUAAAUUGGAAUAAAUAUUAAACUUAAUUUUUAAAUAAAUAGAUUACUACUUUAUAUCCCAAACUUACUUUUAAAAGAGUAAGUUUAGUUCAAAUAACAGUAAGUUUUUAUACAUAAAUAGUAAUUCUUACUAAUAACAUGGUAAUAAAAAUGAUUAAGGAUCAAAAUUUACCAUUUUUUGGAAUACAUGUACAAUUUUUACAUUAAAACCUUAUCUCAAAGUAGUAUUAGGAAGUUUAUUUGAAAUAAUAAUAAGAUGUUUUAUUAAUGAUUAAAACUUAGUACCUUAGUUAGUAAGUACUCAUAAUAUACCUGUAUAAUAAAUAACUAUGGGUAUAAUUUAACAAACCAGAUUUACGGGUCUUAUUUAAAAUAAAGUAAUAGUUUAUUCAUUAUAAAUUUAAUGCUUAAAUUUAUUAAAUUCUUCAUUUUAUAUGCUUACAGUGUUUAAGUUCUCCGCCAAGCUUCGCGUCUUUUUUGCUGCCUUACUUUCACUUACGACCCUCUCACUUUGACAGUUGUUUAUUUUAGGCACUUCACAUUUCAUCUUUACACUUUGGAAUUCCCUCAACUUUUCCUAUCCCUUUUCCACUUAACUUCAAUGCCCAACAAAUCUUUAGGUUCCAGGUCACAAAAGACCUUUACACGUGUCUAUCCAACAGACUUUACCUACCAUUUGUGGCCACAAUCAUACCGCAGCAACUUUCCACACCUUUUCUCUGACUCCUAAACAUACCGCAGCAACAUCCCUGGCUUCACUCUGCCAAGCUACACUCCAAAGACGGGUAAAUUCUGUAGUGUAUUCGACUUUUUCUUUCUUUUUAUGUUUUCAAAAUCUACUCUAGACUUGCGUAAAUGCAGAUUGGCAAGUUCUAACUUCUAGUGCUGGUUUUUAAAUCACCUUGGUUUAUUAUUUCCAUAUUUUAUUUAAGCUAUUAAAUGUUGAAGAAAAUAUAGAUGUAACCCUUGAUUAACUUUCCAAAAUUUUGGAUGAAACUUAAUUUUCUUUUACUCGUUCGAUUCAAUACCAGAUUUUACUCCCGUCCUUGUAUAUUUACCCAAUCAAAGUUCACAGCAGUAAUAGCUUUCAUUACUUCUUUUUUUCCUCCAAACAUAAAAAAGAAGAAAUUGAAAUAAAAAAUGAUAAAUACCAUUAAAGAUUUGGUUUAAAACCUAUAACGACAUUUGUAGUAAAAAAAGAUUUGGCAUUUUUUGUUUCUUAUUUAUUUGUUUUAUUUUUUCCUUCCAUCUUUUUUUGUUAUUUAUUUAUUUAUUUUUUAUUUCCCUUUCAUCUUUUUUGUAUUUAGACAAAAUUAAGAUUUUGUAGGUCAAAGCAUAAAUUUUCAAAAUCAUCUCUUCUCUUCCCAAAAGAGAGAGAGAGAAGGAAAAAAGAAAAAAAGAAAAAAGUUGUGAAAGGGUAAAUUUAUUAAUUUAUUAGUUUGACUUUGACAUUUUAUUAUUGACCGUUAAAUUUAAUUGAAAAAACUAAUGGUGUCACUUUAACCCAAACUAUGUUUAAACAAUAGGGAAGUUAUAUAACAAGGCACCAAACCAUAGGGGGUAAUAAGUAAUUUACCCUUGAUAUUUUCGUUUACAUCACAGAAAGCAAUAAUUAAAGUUAAAUUUAAAAUUAUCUUGCUCAUUCGUGUGAUUUAUUCAUCUUGAAUAGGAAAAUUUGGAAAGUUUUCUAAUGAAUAUUCUUUAACCACCCUUGUAAGGAAUUAUCAAAUGUAUCAAUCGAUCAAUUCUACUAUUUACUAACCUUAGUUACUUCAUGUAAUCAGAGAAAUAGUCUAAAUGAAAGGGAAAAUGAAAGUUAUUGCAGUCAAUGUCUAGGGUUUGGACAAUUUUCAAUUCAUUGAAAACAUAUUUAGUACAGUGAAUUUACAAUUAGUUUUCAAACCUAAUUUUUAGGGGUUGGGCAUUUAGUCCUAUAAUUUUAAUUUACAAUCAAUUUAGUACGAUUGGCAGCAAAUCAACUAGGGAUGGCAACGGGAGCGAGCACCCGUGGGGGGUCAUUGGGGCGGGGAUUGGAGCGGGGCCUAGGGGAAUUUUUCCCUCCCGUUUAGAAACGGGGCGGGGGGCGGGGGUAUACUCCCCUGUCCCACCCCCGCCCCGCCACCCGUAUGAAUAUAUAUAUAUAUAUAUAUAUAUAAUGAUAUUAUCAAUUAUACUACUAAUUAUACAUGUCUAUUAAUAAAAAUUAUUAAUUAUUUAUACUAAAUUUAUUAAUACAUUUAUGUUAAAUUCCUAACUACACUUAAUACAAUAACACUUUUUUCUAAAAAAAAACACAAUAAUAAUUUAGUGAUUGUAUUUGUAUCAAAAGUGAAAACUUGAUUAUUUUAGUUAUAUUUGUUUUAUCAUAUUAGAUUGUAUUCAAAUAACCUUUGUUUAAUUAUUUUUAUGAGUUUCAAUUGUGAAGUUACAAUGAAUAAUAACUUGGUGAUGUAUUGAUAUUUUAGUACUUGAUUAUUUGCUUAAAUUUAAUUAUAAUAACAUUAUAUAAUAAUUUUUUUUAACCCCGCGGGGGAAGUGAGGCGGGGCGGGGGAAGCCGGAGGCGGGGGAUGGGAGGGGCGGGGGCGGGGGGAAUUAAAAUGCAACGGGGCGGGGGUUGGGGGAGGUGUCCCCCGCCCCAUUGCCACCCCUAAAAUCAACCAAUUUGAACGGAAAAAAUUUUUUUUGCAAAUAGAUUAUUUAGUCCUUGAAAUUUUUAUGAAAAUUAUCUUUUAUCCAUGAUCUUUCACUUUAUCCCAUCUAGUCCUUUUAUUGUUCUUUCUUCUAACACCGAAAGUAGUUCUUGUUUCACUUUCUUCUACCAUCAAAAUGGCCGGUUUUAAAAAGUUGACCAAAUUUUUAACUUUCUCUAAUAAAAUCUUUACUUUCUUCUCAUUUGUUUUAUUAUCUUUCGCACACAAUUUCUUCCUUGUCAUCUUCACUUUCUUGGACUACUUCUGCCAUUUUCUUUUUGAUGUAGUCUCUUCUUUUUCUCUACUCCCUGUUUUCGUUUAUUUAAUCCUUUUACCUUUUUAUUAACACCAAAACUUCCAUCACCAAAACAAACUUUUUCCAUCACCAAACUUAGUGGCUUUAAAGCGCACGACAAAAGUUUCAACAAUUCUUUUUGAGAAAAAAAAAUGUUUUUUCUUUUUUGUUGUUUCCUUUUAUUUUUAUAUAAUUUUUCAUUUUCUUUCUUAUUUUCUCCAACUAUUUUCACCAUUUUCUCUUGUAUUAAUCUUUCCUACAUUUCUUGGUGUAGAAAUUGUAUUACACUAACAAGUGUAGAUGCAUGCCAAAUAAUAUUCAGAGAUUCACAUUUUAAAUUGUUCAUUUGCAUGUGCUGUGCAUCCCAAUCCACUCACGUACUACACCGAUAAUAUGGAGGAGGCAACGUAAGUGAAAGAUACUGGGCAGAUAAAGGAAGAGGCUGAAUAUUAAGAAGGGAGAGGAGACAGAGUGGGAAGUGUUGAUGGUGCGCAAAGUACAAAUUCAUUGACUUGCUUUGUCCGUACCACGGAAAGUGCCAAUGUAGUAUUCUUCUUAGAUUGAUGUAGUAGUACAAAAGGGUCCAAAUACUACUAGUAUUUAAUCUAUAGUUUAAAGUACAUCAGUGAGGAGGUCAAGGUCUGAAGGACCCAAUUAUUUAUGCUUUAACACAUUACUAUUAAUUGCACCCUGAAGCUCCUUUAAUUUCAAGAGAUACCCAUAUUAUUUAAGGGUAGUUGUUAUCCCACCAAAAUUGUGACUGUAGUUUUUUGAUGACAUCGUUUCCAACCUGGAAUGCUUUGGUAAGAACAUCAGGAGAAAUGGGAGGAUCUGAUCCGAAUACAGCAUUAGCAAUGGUGAUGACUCCUGGAUUCUGGCUGCCUAGACCAGCAAAAGCAACAGCGUCGGUCUCUCCUUGGUUGAAUUGGAAAUGAAUGAGGCCUUGAGGGAACACAAACACGUCUCCUGGAUUCAAAACCUUGGUGAAGAGCUUAUUCUUCAUGUUCAUGCCCGGAUUCGAAGUAACGAAACCAACAACAAGAGUGCCCUCCAAAACAAAGAGGACCUCGGUAGCACGAGGGUGAAUGUGGGGAGGGUUCAAACCAUAAGGCGCAAAGUCGAGGCGUGCUAAGGAAACACCUAAAGUGUUGAGCCCUGGAAUUUGGUUCACAUUUACUUGUGUUACAUUGGACCCGAGUGGCUUUGCUGUGCUUCCUGGCUUGUUUAGCCCUUGAAAGAAGAAAUCUUCGGGUUCCACAAGCUUUGGAUCCUUGCAUAUCUUUCCAUUGACAAAUACUGCAUUAACCAAGAUCAUGAAACAUCAGUUAAAGUAUAACAUGCAACAUUAUAGUACUAUCAAACAAGACAGUCAUGAAAUUUUCCAAAACAAGAUCAGAAAGUUUACCACCGCCAGCAUUGGCAUCAGGAACUGCGACGCAGAAAUCCUGCAAUGGACUUGGAUCAGAUGCAUGGACAAUUGUAAAAACAAGUGCCAAGAUGGCUGCAGCUAUGUGGAAGCGAAAAGCCAUGCUUAUCAGAGACGAAGUAUCAAACUAUAUGAGCUAGUUAGAAAGAUGAAAAGUUGUUUCUUCUCAGAUUGUGGAUGAAUAUGUGGUAAAGAUUCCUAUUUAUAGCUAUCUUUGGUUGAACCAGUCAUUAUGUUUUCUUAUCUCAACGAUUAGAAAAAUGCCACAUUGUCUUCCUAAUCUAUUUUUGUACAACUCAACCAACGAAUGAUUCUGCAACAACUACCUGUGACUUCUCAUUUUCUUUCCUCUUGCAAGUAUAGAAAGACUGAUUCGGUCAUUUAGGACAUUCCAACGAAGUGGUAUACUGAUACAAGGUGUUGACGGACCAAGUAACCGGUAAGACCUUUUCUUGAAGAGAUGGCCUUUGAUAUUUCUUGCUUCCAGAUGUUUACUUUCUUACCUCAGUAAAACGAUGCAUUAGUUGCAACUAAUCAGUUUGAAAUUCGCAGGCUCAAUCCAACUUUACAAAGUAGCAUCUGGGAUUAGCACGAAAGAAUCAAAUAUAUGGUAAUCGUCUGGGAGUAGAGGACCUAAUUACUUCGGAUAAUUAUACAAAGAUAGCUCAGAACUUGAAUUUCAAACUUCUUUGGCAAAACCUAUGAUAUGUAAUUAUAUUUGCAUAUUUUAGCUAGCUGGAAUACCAAGCAUUCAUUUCCUAUUUCCUGUCUGUGCAAAUAAUUCCUGUUUGCGGGUGAUAAAUAUUCCAAUCAAUAGCACCUAAAUAUAUAGACCUCUUUUCAUUGCCUGUUUCUUGUCCGUGUAACUCAGCGCAUUUCUGGACUUUUUCUUUCCAAAAUCAUCUCAGAACUUGCGAAUAGGCAGCUUGAAAGUUCAAAGUUAAUUCUACCUUCUAAGUGACAGCUUGAUCAUCUUAGUUUGAUAUUGCCGUGUUCUAUUUAAGCUAUUAAAUAUUGAAAAAGAAAGGAAGAUGUAACCCUUGAUUAAUUAUCCAAAAUUUUGGAUGAAACCAAUUUCAAUUCACUCAAUUCAAUUUAAAAUCCAGAUUUCAAACCCAUUAAUUACCCUAUUAAUUAUUGGAGUAAUUUAUAUUUUCAUUUACAUCAAAAUGAAUGAAUUAUUUGAGGUUAAAAUCAGGUUUAUGGUUCGACAAGUAGGUUUGAUAACUGGGAGUAGAAAUGGUGUAAAAAGGGGUGGGAGGGUUAAAAAGAAUAUUUGAAGCUAAAAUCAUAAAUUAUCCUGCUCAUUUAUAUGAUUUGUUCAUCUUGAACAGACAUUAUCUUGAAUACUUAGGAAAAUUUUCUUGUAAAACUAAAAGAACUAAUUUUAAAGAAUAUUCAUAUUAAGCACACUUGUAGAGAAUUAUCAUAUGUAUUAAUCUAUCAAUUAUAAUAUUUAUUAAACUUAAUUUAUACGAUCUGGAAAAAUAGUUUGAAAGGGAAAAUGAUACUUUUCCUCUCCAAUAUUUAGUGGUUGGAAAAAUUUCAUCCACAAAGUUUCAUUGCGAAUACAUUUAGUUCCUACAAAUUUAAUUUAUAAUCAAUAGUACAAGUGAUAGCAAAUCAACCAAUUUGGGUGGAAAAAAAAUUGACAAAUAGCUCGUUUAGUCCCUCAACUCUUUUUUUUUGUAAAUUAUCUUUUUUUUUCUUAAUAAAUAAAAAAUGAUAUUUUAUUUUAUCCUGUUUAAUGCUUCUAUUUUUUUUCCAACCCCAGAAGUACUUUUUGAUUUCACUUCCUUCAACCUUCAAACGCGACAAUGUUGAUUGAUGAGUAUGACCAAAAUUUCAACCUUUCUUUAAAAAAAGAAAAACUUCACUUUUCUUGGUGUUUUUUUAUUUUCUUUUGUACAUAAAUUCUUUGUUUUCCUUUUUACUUUCUUUUGGUGUUUUUGACACUUUCCUUUCUUCUUUUUCUCUAGUCCCUGAUUUUUGAAAUCUCUUAUCUUUUUGAAAUAAGUUGCAUUUGUUUGGAUAAAUUGGAACUCAUAUGUAUGCAUACUGAGUGUUAUGUAUUCCUUUGACAAAACAGCUAGACGUUGACAAUUGUGUAAAUUAAUAAAAUUUUGGCAAUGCAUAUGAAAAUGUGGCUUUACAAGAAUUGGAUUGGAGAUAUUCUCAAGUGUUUGAGAUGUUCAUUCUUGCAAAUGGCUAAAAUUCUCAAGUGUUUGGACUCAUUAUGCGUGACAUGACUGAUAAUGUUCUUUCUAAAUGUGGGAAUUGGAUUUGAGGAAUGUUAGGAAUAUUACUUGCUUGAAAUUGUCAAUUGCUGGCAGGGAGUUUAACCCUUUUUCAAGAGAAAACUCUGCCGAAAUUUUCUUAAAUUCUUAUUUAACAUGUGUGAGCAAGUUUCUAUCGUUUCUAAUAAAUACUUAUCUUGUUUGUGUAUAGGUACUAUGGCUCGCACAAGGAGGGCUCGUAUUCGUAAUCCUACACCAUCUUCAAGCGAGGAACGCACUCCCUCAUAUGAAGAGUCGCCUGAGGAAGAAUCUCCUUCGCCUGAGCCACCACCUCGGUCUCGCCGGAAGACCGCAUCCACUAGCCGCGACGAGCCGUUUCCAGAUUUUGACACCACUAGAUUCACGUCACUCGAGAAUCGACAGUGGUACGAAGCAGGCUUAGAUAAGGAAAUUAUCAUUGAAAAGCACCUGGCACCGGAGGUGGAUGCGCACUACCACGUCUCUACGGCAUUCAAGAGACUAGGAUGGGAGAACAUCCUUCAAUUGCCCAAGUACUACUACCCCAACCUGGUCCGGGAGUUCUAUGCCAAUGUGGAAAACAAACAGAGUCACAAUGGCAAUCUCAUCGUCUCCUGGGUUCGACGAAAGAGAGUGGCUCUUAAUCGAGAUACAGUGGCAAAAAUUGUCAAACUCAAAGAUGAAGGACUUGAUGUUAAACUGAUCAAGGAGUUCAAGGCACGCGACCCUUGGCAGGUGAGAGAAGCGGUAGCACGCCUAAAGGGUCAAUAUAGGGAGCGUGGAAGUUCGAAGAAACUCACUGUAUAUGCUGACUCCUUCGAGCAUAGGUACCACUUGAUCUUCUAUCUCUUCGCCUUCAAUGUGGUGCCCAAAAGGAGUGGAAAGCGAGAGCUCCGCAAUAGUGACCUCUACUUCUUGGAUAAGAUGAUGUAUAGUGUGGGUGAGCAGUUGACUGGUAUUCCUUUGCCCAGUAUCAUCAUCAGUUACACGCGGACCACAGCUCGCAUGAGGGCCGGCAAGACUUGCUUUGGAUUCUUUCAGCUGCUAUCCCUCAUUUUUUAGAAGCUCAAGGUUCCUCUUGGAACCGAGCGAGCCAUUAACACUAGGUCUGCCGACGAGGUCUGUGCCUCGAUACUCAAAUCCUUGAAUAUUUCUACAGAUUUUGGAGCUGCUCUGGUUCGAGAAACUAAAGAAGCUUCAACCUCAGCUCAGCCUCCACCUCACACUCAACAGGAACCAGUAGUUCAUGAGACGGAGGCACAACAAACUCUUCCUCCUCCCGUUCCAAGACCACCACCUCCACCGCGAUCCAAGUGGCAAGAGCUCCUCAAUGCCAUUUGCUGUAUGGAGACUUGAGUCGUUGAGCGCAUUGACCAGACCGAGCGGAUGAUGACGGAGUGACUCGACAGACAUGAUCGCCGUCUUCGUGCGAUUGAGGAUCAUUUCCAUAUCCGCCGGUCACCUACUCCGACGUCUCAGCAGGAGGAGGGGCAUAUUGGUACAUCACAGGGUCCUCAUGGAACUGAGGAGGUAGUAGACCCUCGUUCUGAGCAGCCAUGAAGAUUUUUAGCUAAUUACAUCUUUUGUUGCUUUAUUUUUCUUUUAUUGUGUUUAGUUUAAAUUUUGUAGUUUUCAUAUUGGAUUCUCUUGUGCUACUCAUGGUUUUUUGCACUCUUUUGUUUCAUUGUGGACAGAAUUUCGAUGAUCGUGAGGAUUAAUGGCUUCAAAUUGAAUCACCACUUAUUUUGAGGGAAGUUUCAUUUUUUAUUACCUUCUUCACAAUGAAGACAUUGUUAAAUUUAAGUGUGGGGGAGGGAUUACUUUAUUUUAUGGGGAUUGUGUCUUGAAAUGCAUGAUUUGAGUUGUCUAUAGCUUAAAAAUGUUGAAAUUUUAUUUGGAAAGGUUGUAUUGUGGUUAAUUUUCUGGAAAUUAAGGUUGUUGACAGGGAGUUUUGUCCAUUUUUAUGGAGAAACUCUGUCAAAAUUUUUUUAAAAAUAUUUUCCAAUAUUUCAAGUUAAUGGCCAAAAUGUUCAAUUUUAAGUGCCUAAUUCUUCCAUUGAAUAAAAUGUUAUAUGUAUUUUGGGAAAGUUUAGUCCUUAUUUGACUUGGAAUUAGUCAUUAUGCAAUUAGGAUUUUUAUAUUUUAGAAAGUAUAUUUGGUUAAAUAAGGAAAAUUAUGCUUAGAAUUUUGCACGUUCAAUGAUAUUUCUCAUUUUUACUUAAUUUUAUAAGUAAGUGAUUGACAUAGUCAAGACAAGGCCAGAUUCUUUCUUUAAUUAUGCUUAGAGGGAAAAGAGAAAAAAAAGAAAAAAAAAGAAAAGAACAUAUAUAUAUUGAUAUUAUUUUCUACUCCAAUGAUUCACAUACUGAGUAAUCGGGGGUUGGUAUUUACAAAUGUCGACAUUCGCAUAAAAAGGUAUUGGAAUUAAGAGUAUGUUUAGCAAUUUGAAUAAGUAAAAUGUUGAGUAAUCAGGAAUCUUCACCUAAGUAUCGAUUUUCGCGUAAAAGACAUUUCUACUAUUUAAGUAAAAUGAAGUAUGAAUAAAUCUCUCUUAGUUAUGAAAAUUUUGAUGGUUAUGGGAUGAGGAAGGCCAUAGAAUUGACUGUGAGAUUUACUUAUUUGUGAAAUUAGGAUAGAAUGAGAGAUUGAUUUGAAGUUGUUAAAAUUAAGGCAUAAUUAUCUUUCUUUAACUUGAUAUUACGAGUAUUUAGUGUAAUCUGAGAAAUAGCAUAAUGAUUGGUUUCUAGGUUUUUGAGGAAUUAAAUUUGACAAAAGUACGUAUAUUGUUUUAUCUAUUGAAUCAUUGAAGUAAGUUUUAUGCAAAUUACUUGAGGACAAGUAAUGAUUCAAGUGUGGGGGAAUUUGAUAAGUGAAUAUUUAACGUAUAUUUUGUACAAGUUUGGCAUGAACUUUUGGUAUGUUUUGAGAAGAUUAAAGCCAUAUUUGAACUCUUUUGGUGAUAAUUGCUUAAAUAUUGUUUAAGUGUUCAAAAUUUGAUAAAUGAGUGGAUUAAUGCAUUAAUUUUGUGAAAUUGUGCAGGAUAUUGAUGUAUGAAGUUCAUGCACGAGCUGAAAGAAGUGUAAGGAUUGUCCAGAGGAUAAAGUACACAAGAAAUUAGGAGCAAAAAUGAAGGACAAAGGAAAGAAGCGAAAAAAUGAAAAUUUAAUGGCACGGAUCCGAGCUCGGAUCCAUGAGAGCAAAGAAGGAUCCGAUCCCUCGUCUGUACUUCUGGAGGAGUGUAUCCAAGGUUAGACGAUCCGACCUCGGAUCCAUCAUGGGAAGUCCUCGGAUCCUAUAAAUCCGAGUUCGGAUCCAUUUUCACCCCUCGGAUCCGAGGCUCGGAUUUGUCUCUCUCUUCAGCAAGUGGCACAGUUAUUUUCCUUUACCUUUCUCACAACUUUUCCAGCUAUUUUGAGGGAUAGAAAUCGGUGGCACAUGCUUCUGCAACAAAAGAGAAGACCAAAUGAGUUAUAGACAAAAAGGAAAUAUCAUAUUUUUGACUUCCUGAGUGGAGGAAAUUAUGAAGUGCGAGGAGUAGACUUUCUACCACUUUUUAUGCAGAAACACAGGGAAGAAGCCAGAGACAUCUACGCAGCUAGUUUUCCUUCUUGUAACUAGUUUCUCUCUAACUAAGAGUUCUUGGAGGCAUUUUGGAGGUUACACUUGUAAUCAUCUUGUACAAGAACAUAGCAGAAUUUGAGGGCUUCACCAUCAAUCGGCUAAGCUUUCUUUUAUCUUUCUUGUACUUGUACUUCAUGAUGUUUUGCAUUAAUAAACUUAUGAGUUUGAUUGUUAAAGCAUUCAUGAGUAGCUAAACUCCUUAAUCUAGGGAGUGGAUGAAACUUAUGGCUAAAUAAUACUAAUUGAAUGUGAGUUACACUUGUUAUAUCCUGUAUUAACUAGUCUACUUGUGUAGCUGUGAUUACUUGUUAUUGAUUGAUCACCAAUAGCAUGUUUAUAGUUGUUAUUAUUCAAUGAGAAUUGGUAGUAACAAUGGAAACACAUGAGUAGAGCUUAAGUUGUAUGUUCAUGAAAAUAGAGAUAUACUUAAGUAGAUUUCUUAGCAUUUCAUGAAAGCAAACAGAGUAGUAGUAGUAUUUCACUAUGAAAAUAGGGAAAAACUGAACUACUCUAGGCCAUUUCAUCAUGAGAAUGAGACUUGGUAAAUUUGGAAAUGAAUCUCUGGUUAAACAAGAAUAAUAACAAGAGGUAAAUCCAUUUAUUUGUGUUAUUUAUGCCAUAAGUGGAAUUUACAUCCCUAGAUUCAAUCUCUAGUGAAAUUUCUUCAUUCGAAUUUAGUAUUUGUUAAACUAGAUUUGUAUAUCAAAUUUGUAGAUUAUAGCAAUAUACUUUCUCUGCUCAAAUUUAUUGUAAAUCUAAAUAAUAGAGAGAAAUAAGGGUCCAGUACUUGUUUAAAUUGCUCCUCGUGGGAUCGACCCGAUACAUACCCUACAUUACAGUUUCGGCCUGUAUACUUGCAGCUAACGGGUAUAAAAAUCGGAUUUAAACUUGCAUUGCUAAAAAAAAACCCGUCACGGGUGAUAAAUAUUCCAAUCAAUAGCACCUAAAUAUAUAGACCCUUUUUCAUUACCUGUUUCUUGUCCGUGUAACUCAGCGCAUUUCUGGACUUUUUCUUUCCAAAAUCAUCUCAGAACUUGCGAAUAUGCAGCUUGAAAGUUCAAAGUUAAUUCUACCUUCUAAGUGACUGCUUAAUCAUCUUAGUUUGAUAUUGCCGUGUUCUAUUUAAGCUAUUAAAUAUUGAAAAAGAAAGGAAGAUGUAACCCUUGAUUAAUUAUCCAAAAUUUUGAGUGAAACCAAUUUCAAUUCACUCAAUUCAAUUUAAAAUCCAGAUUUCAAACCCAUUAAUUACCCUAUUAAUUAUUGGAGUAAUUUAUAUUUUCAUUUACAUCAAAAUGAAUGAAUUAUUUGAAGUUAAAAUCAGGUUUAUGGUUCGACGACUAGGUUUGAUAACUGGGAGUAGAAAUGGUGUAAAAAGGGAUGGGAGGGUUAAAAGGAAUAUUUGAAGCUAAAAUCAUAAAUUAUCCUGCACAUUUAUAUGAUUUGUUCAUCUUGAACAGACAUUGUCUUGAAUACUUAGGAAAAUUUUCUUGUAAGACUAAAAGAACUAAUUUUGAAGAAUAUUCAUAUUAAGCACACUUGUAGAGAAUUAUCAUAUGUAUUAAUCUAUCAAUUAUAAUAUUUAUUAAACUUAAUUUAUACAAUCAGGAAAAAUAGUUUGAAAGGGAAAAUGAUACUUUUCCUCUCCAAUAUUUAGUGGUUGGAAAAAUUUCACCCACAAAGUUUCAUUGCGAAUACAUUUAGUUCCUACGAAUUUAAUUUAUAAACAAUAGUACAAGUGAUAGCAAAUCAACCAAUUUGGGUGGAAAAAAAUUGACAAAUAGCUCGUUUAGUCCCUCAACUCUUUUUUUUUUGUAAAUUAUCUUUUUUUCUUAAUAAAUAAAAAAUGAUAUUUUAUUUUAUCCUGUUUAAUGCUUCUAUUUUUUUUUUCCAAUCCCAGAAGUACUUUUUGAUUUCACUUCCUUCAACCUUCAAAUGCGACAAUGUUGAUGAGCAUGACCAAAAUUUCAACCUUUCUUUAAAAAAAGAAAAACUUCACUUUUCUUGUAGUUUUUUUAUUUUCUUUUGUACAUAAAUUCUUUGUUUUCCUUUUUACUUUCUUUUGCUAUUUUUGACACUUUCCUUUCUUCUUUUUGUCUAGUCCCUGAUUUUUUUUUUUCUAUUUAGUCCUUUUAUUUUUUCCCCUUAAAUACCAUUUGCCAUAAAACUUUUUCCAUCACCAGACUCGGUGGCUUAAAAGGGCAUGACAAACUGUUCAUAUUCUUUUUCAAAAAAAGGAAAUCUAUAAUUUUUUUUAUUUCUUUUUAUGUUAUUCCUUCAUUUUCUUUUUUGCAUUUUUAGUUUAAGAAUCUUAUUAAAUUAGAACUAUAGAUGCGUGUUAAAUAAUAUUUACUCAAAUUUCAAAAUUUUCAUUUGCACAUGUAGCAUGCAUUCCAAUCCCACUCGUAUUAAAAAAAAACUACUACACUGAAAAUCUAAACAUUAUUUCUUUUCUUUUUAUAUAAUUUUUUUCCUUUUCUUUUUCAAAAGAGGAAGAAGAGGCAGCACGAGUGAUAGAUGCGGAGUAGAUAAAGGAAGAGUCUGAAUUAUUGAAAAGGGAGAGAGAAGCUGCCAAGAUUACUUUACAGAUGAUGGACAUAGAUGAUUUUGUUCUCUCUCUAAUUUGAGAUUGAGCUUGAGGACAAUCUAAUGGCUACAUCUUAGUUGUUAGGUGAAUUUCCAAUUAUACCUCUUUUCAGUAUAUUGAAUAUAUUUCAAUGGUGUUAACAAACUCACAUAUUGAUAUUUUUGUUUUCGCAAUGGUUUUUAUUAUUUAUUAAUUUUUUUGGUGUGAGAUUUUGCAGCGCUUUGAAUUAAGGGUGCAAACGAAUCGAAUCGAGUCGAGUUUUGGUCUAAUCGAAUCGAGUCUCAACUUAGUUUUAUGAAACUUGAACUCGAGCUCGAGUUUGACGAGUUCAAAAUGUAAAGUUCGAGUUCGAACUCGACUAAAAUUCGAGUCAAGCUCAAACUUAAAAAAAUAAUUAUUUUAUUUUAAAAAAUGAAUAAAAUAAUAAUUUUUCAAAAUAAUAUAUAUAUAUAUAUAUAUAUAAUUGCGAGUUAACGGGUUGAAUAUCUUUGAGCUCGAGUUUGACUUGAUCAGUUCAAGCUCGAGUCAAGCUCGGAUUCGAGCUGCUCGCGAGCUGUUUGAUUCAUUUGCAGUCGUACUUCAAAUACUUCUUACAAGUGCUCCAAAGGUUUUUCAUUGCACAAUGAAACUAUGGUAAGAAGAAUUCAUCCAAUCUGUGGAGAUACGUUCUUUUAAUCAGACAAAAUUCAUCUUUCUAGAAUCCAAAAAUAAAAGAAGACAAAUGUGGUUCAUAUAUUGAUUAUAUCACAGGGUACAAAAAAAUUAAGAAAAGAGGUAGUGAUUUAUAAAUUGCAUUUUCCUGUAAGGUGGGAAAAUGCCAAUGUAUUAAUCUAUGUAGAACCAUUGUAGUAACAAAGGGGCCGAAAUAAUGCUGGAUUUUGGAGUAAUUCCAUAUGGAGAUCAAAGUGGAAAUGACCCAAUUAUUUAUGCUUCAACACAUUACUGUUGCACCCCGAAUCUCCUUUGGUUUCAAGAGUUACCCAUACUACGGGUAGUUGUUAUCCCACCAAAAUUGGGACUGAAGUUUUUUGAUGACAUCGUUUCCAACCUGGAAUGCUUUGGUAAGAACAUCAGGAGAAAUCGGAGGAUCUGAUCCGAAUACAGCAUUAGCAAUGGUGAUGACUCCUGGAUUCUGGCUGCCUAAACCAGCAAAAGCAACAGCAUUUGAAUGUCCUUGGUUGAAUUGGAAAUGAAUGAGGCCUUGGGGGAACACAAACACAUCUCCUGGAUUCAAAACCUUGGUGAAGAGCUUAUUCUUCAUGUUCAUGCCCGGAUUCGAAGUAACAAAACCAACAACUAGAGUACCCUCCAAAACAAAGAGGACCUCGGUAGCACGAGGGUGAAUGUGGGGAGGGUUCAAACCAUAAGGCGCAAAAUCGAUGCGUGCUAAGGAAACACCUAAAGUGUUGAGCCCUGGAAUUUGGUUGACAUUUACUGCUGUUACAUUGGACCCGAGUGGAUUUGCUGUGCUUCCAGGUUUGUUAAGCCCUGGAAAGAAGAAAUCUUCGGGUUUCACAAGCUUUGGAUCCUUGCAUAUCUUUCCAUUGACAAAUACUGCAUUAGCCAUGAUUCAACUUAGUUAGUUUGUCAAACAUAGUUAGAAUUCAAGUAUAAUAUACAAGAGUCAAGAAAUUUUUGAAGUAAUCUAGUUUACCUCCGGCAUUGGCAUCAGGAACUGCCACACAAAAAUCCUGCAGUGGACUUGGAUUAGAUGCAUGGACAACUGUAAAAACAAGUGCCAAGAUGGCUGCAGCAAUAUGGAUCCGAACUGCCAUGGUUAUCACAAAAGAGGUGACAGGUUGUCGAAGCCUGUGCAAUAAUAAAUACCUGCUCAAACUAAAAGUAAUUUCUGUAGAUAGUGGUGAGCAGGGUCGAAUCCACAGGGACUGGGAGUAAUUAUUUCUUUUCAAGUUCACAGUGACAAGGGGAGUGUUUUUAUGCAGAAGGUGACAGUGGCGGGUGGCUUCAGGCGCGCAAGUGAGGCGCGUGGCUGUGGUCAAGGGUGGAGCAAGGGCGAGCGGCUACGUGGGCAGUAGAGGCGGGCAUCGGCCGUGGCUGCUGGCGGCGGACGGGCUGGAGAAGAAAGGGAGAGCCCGCGCCAAGUGGUGGUGGAAGGCAGCGGCGGUCACGUGGGCAAGUGGGCGGCGUGCGUCGCGCUUGGGCGGCGGGACAGAGGCUACUGCCGCGCACCUGUGGGAUUGUGGCUGUGCGAGGAAGGAGCUGCGUGUGGAAGGAAGAUGGGCAGCGGCGGCGGCGAUGGAGCUUCAGCAGCGGCGGGCGGCGAGGUGCGAAGUGGAUGGCUGGCUGGUCCUUCGUGCGAGACGCAAGGUGGCGGCGUGAGUGAGGUGGGCUGCGAGCAAAAGGGAUUCGGACAACAGAGAGAGAGCAGGGGAGAAGGAAGAAAGAAAGAAGAAAGAAAGAAAUUUUUUUUUUUUUUUUUUUUUUGUAAAACUGAGCUACGGUGAAAAGGGAAGAAGAAAAAAAAAAUUUUUUUUUUUUUUUUUAAAUUGAGAAACCUAGCUACGGUUGAGAAAUUUUUCUCUCUUUUUUUUUUUUAAUCCUUACCUUUCCCGCGAACGUGACGCGGGCACGUCAUGAGGGCAAGAGAGCUCCCAGAAGUUUCUGAUCGUGAGCUUCCUGCAGGUCACCACGGGGGCGCGUCAUGACUGAAGGUCACCUACAAAUCAGUAAAAACGAAAAUUAACACCCAAAAUCAGUCAAAUUCAAGGAAGACAGAUUUAAACUAACAAAUAAAAUCAAACAAACAACUAAAAGAAAUUGGGUUGCCUCCCAAUGAGCGCCUUUCUUUAAUGUCUUUGGUUAGACAUUAUCAUGUUUUGUUCAUGGAGGAUAAAAUCGUGUGGCUCGUUUUAAUGUUUCAUCCUCUAUAUAGUCCUGAUAACCCUCGUAAAUAGAAUAAUUCUUGAGCAUACGAGCUACGGGCUUCCAUGGACUAGUGAAUGGCGCCAAACGAGUCGAUGAUAAUUUGCAUUCUCCAUUCACUUCUCCCUCAUUUGCAUUUGUUGGUACAAGAUAUCUUGCCAUCGCCACUCUUAAUUUAUUCCUGUCAUGAAAUUCAAAAUUAUCUGGUAUAAUAAAGUCAAUUUCAUUAACAGGAAUUGAAGAGUAAGAGUCAGGAGAAUAGUGAUAAAGGAGUGGAGGAGAUGUCACCGCAUUUGGAGAUUGUUCACUGGAUUCAUUCACUUGAAUGAGUUGAUCCUGGAGUCUCAUUUUUUGCACUUCAACUUCCUUUUCAACUGCAUCUUUAAAUCCGUUUCCUUGAAACUCUUGCAAUUCCAUGUCAUUUGGCCGGAUAAUUGCACUCUCAUCUCCUUCAAGAUUGAUAUUGGUUUGUGAGGGCAAUUCUUCAAGGUGAGAAGCUAAUCGCUCUAUCCUGGAUGUCAAUUGACGCAUUUGAUCUGCCAGGUCGCGAAGGCUCGCUUGUGUCUUCUGAUGAAAUCGAUUUAGGCUCGCUUGUGUCUCCUGAUGAAAUCGAUUUGUAUUAGCAAUUAGUAAUCCCAUCAUUUCUUCAAGAGACAAACCUGACACGGAGGAUGAUUGCUGAGACUCUUGCUGUUGAAAAUCCAUUGGCCCGGUCGCAUAAUCAAAAUUGGAUUUAUCCCACCAUCCUUGAUCAUACCCGUUUGAAUAAGGGUCAUACCACGUUUGAAAUCGAGAUGGAAAAUCUCCAAAAGUAUCAAUUGGAGCGCUUAAAUUAUCUUGAAAUGCGGGGCAUGUGUCAGUUGAAUAACCUGAAUCAAAAUAAGUUCCACAAUUUGCAAUAGCCCAUUGAUCAUUAGAAAAACAUGAGUCUCAUAACUCCAUUCAAGAACAAAGUCCAGUCUAUCAUCAAAAUAUGGAAUGUUAGCAGCCAUAAAAAAAUAAAAAAAAUAAGAGAAAAAUAAAUUAAAAAAAAAUGAAAACAAGAUAAACUCAAAAAGAAACAAAUUAAUCUGACACCAGUCCCCGGCAACGGCGCCAAAUAUUGACAGGUUGUCGAAGCCUGUGCAAUAAUAAAUACCUGCUCAAACUAAAAGUAAUUUCUGUAGAUAGUGGUGAGUAUGGUCGAAUCCACAGGGACUGGGAGUAAUUAUUUCUUUUCAAGUUCACAGUGACAAGGGGAGUGUUUUUAUGCAGAAGGUGACAAUCAAAGAAAUUCAACUAAAAUAUAAAAAGCUACUAAAAAUUAAAUAACAAAUUACUAAAAUCAAAUAAGUGAUAAUUAAGGAUCUAGCCAAGGAAUGACUUCAGCAAUAGUUCACCUAAUUGAUCAUCGAUAAGCAAAGGCAAUUCCAAUUAUUUAUCAAUAAAUAGGUUAUAACUACCAAACAAACGAUGGCAGUCAACCCCUCCUUACUGUGUCGGUGAUCAAGGUACGCCCGUUAAUCACUGCUCUAAUUGAAAAACAAUCCUAGGUACGCCCGUAAAAUUUAAUUCCCCAAUUGCCUUACGUAUUAGAGGAGCCCUAUUCUAACCAAAUAACACACUAUCAGGGUUAUUUUAGAUUAACCCGCGUAUUCCCUUGACACAAAUCUAAUCAUGCCAUUUGUCACUAUUUUAGAGCAAUUAAACAAUUACGGAUUUAAUGUCCUAAUUGACAAUAGAUUACCCAAUCAACUAAUUAUCUGGAUCCAAGACAAUCAAUUAAUUAAAUAACCAUAAGCACUGUAACCAGGGAAUAUGCGAAUACCAAUAAAUAAAAGUAAAAGAUAAAAUUAAAUCGAUCUCACAAUUUUAGGCGAUCCAAAACGUCCAUUGUCCCUUGACUAGAGCGAGAAAAUUAGUUCAUACUUGGUGUGAAAAAUCCAUGCAAAAUUGGAACAACAGCUGCGGCCAUUGUUCUUGCUCGCGCGAAUUCAACUCAGCCAAAGGGAUAAGGAAAAACGAGAGACUAAGAAAAGUGAUUCAAUCUCUCAAUUGCCGUUGACAUGUCAAGGGAAAAACUACUAUAAAGCUAAGAAGAAAAGUCAACAAAAGCCACAUUGGCUCCUGACAUCCGUAAGAAGAAAACCAAAAGAAGUAAGGAAGGACUACAAAAGAAAAAUCAAAAGCAAGCCUAAGCUACAGCCGACCUCUCCUCUGCACACUUUUUCUAAUUCCUAUCUACUGUCUACUCUAAUGCUUGCGGCGGCUCCCUCCUCUGGAGAGGAAGAAGUGACACCCCGACUUCAGCCCUUUGUUCCUUUUUUUAAUGCUUUUGUCUUCGGCAAUUACUAAAAUGGGCACAAGUUUGCCUUUGGCAACAAUGCCCCCGGGAUAAGCUCUGUGCCUUAGACUCCUUUUGUGUCAAAUUGGCACUUGUUAUCAUAUUUUCGUUCUACUCCCUGAAAUAUAUGCCAAAUACUAAAAAUGAGUAGAAUCUAUCAAUUAAUUCACAUCGAGUCAGGUAAUAGGGAAAAUUAAUAAUAAAAUAAAUGAUAAAAUUACACCCUAUCAAGAGGGAUCAAACUAUGUGAACUAAUUAGAAGGAUGGUAACUUGUUUCUUCUCUGGUGGUGGAAGGACAUGUGGGAAAGAUGCCUAUUUAUAGCCACUUUUGGUACGUUGAACUGGUCAUUAUAUUUUCUUAUCUUAAAGAUUAAAAAAUGCCACAUUGUCUAUGUGUACUAUUUUUGCACAAUUCAACCGACGAAAGAUUCUGCAACCACUACUUUCGACUUUGUCAUUUUCAGUAAGACUGAUUAAUAGCGUGUAAAUGGACCUUUUCAUUUCCUGUUUCUUGUCUGUGUACGUAACUUAGAAAGUGGAUGGACUUUUUCUUUCUUUUUAUGUUUUCAAAAUCUACUCUAGACUUGCGUAAAUGCAGAUUGGCAAGUUCUAACUUCUAGUGCUGGUUUUUAAAUCACCUUGGUUUAUUAUUUCCAUAUUUUAUUUAAGCUAUUAAAUGUUGAAGAAAAUAUAGAUGUAACCCUUGAUUAACUUUCCAAAAUUUUGGAUGAAACUUAAUUUUCUUUUACUCGUUCGAUUCAAUACCAGAUUUUACUCCCGUCCUUGUAUAUUUACCCAAUCAAAGUUCACAGCAGUAAUAGCUUUCAUUACUUCUUUUUUUCCUCCAAACAUAAAAAAGAAGAAAUUGAAAUAAAAAAUGAUAAAUACCAUUAAAGAUUUGGUUUAAAACCUAUAACGACAUUUGUAGUAAAAAAAGAUUUGGCAUUUUUUGUUUCUUAUUUAUUUGUUUUAUUUUUUCCUUCCAUCUUUUUUUGUUAUUUAUUUAUUUAUUUUUUAUUUCCCUUUCAUCUUUUUUGUAUUUAGACAAAAUUAAGAUUUUGUAGGUCAAAGCAUAAAUUUUCAAAAUCAUCUCUUCUCUUCCCAAAAGAGAGAGAGAGAAGGAAAAAAGAAAAAAAGAAAAAAGUUGUGAAAGGGUAAAUUUAUUAAUUUAUUAGUUUGACUUUGACAUUUUAUUAUUGACCGUUAAAUUUAAUUGAAAAAACUAAUGGUGUCACUUUAACCCAAACUAUGUUUAAACAAUAGGGAAGUUAUAUAACAAGGCACCAAACCAUAGGGGGUAAUAAGUAAUUUACCCUUGAUAUUUUCGUUUACAUCACAGAAAGCAAUAAUUAAAGUUAAAUUUAAAAUUAUCUUGCUCAUUCGUGUGAUUUAUUCAUCUUGAAUAGGAAAAUUUGGAAAGUUUUCUAAUGAAUAUUCUUUAACCACCCUUGUAAGGAAUUAUCAAAUGUAUCAAUCGAUCAAUUCUACUAUUUACUAACCUUAGUUACUUCAUGUAAUCAGAGAAAUAGUCUAAAUGAAAGGGAAAAUGAAAGUUAUUGCAGUCAAUGUCUAGGGUUUGGACAAUUUUCAAUUCAUUGAAAACAUAUUUAGUACAGUGAAUUUACAAUUAGUUUUCAAACCUAAUUUUUAGGGGUUGGGCAUUUAGUCCUAUAAUUUUAAUUUACAAUCAAUUUAGUACGAUUGGCAGCAAAUCAACUAGGGAUGGCAACGGGAGCGAGCACCCGUGGGGGGUCAUUGGGGCGGGGAUUGGAGCGGGGCCUAGGGGAAUUUUUCCCUCCCGUUUAGAAACGGGGCGGGGGGCGGGGGUAUACUCCCCUGUCCCACCCCCGCCCCGCCACCCGUAUGAAUAUAUAUAUAUAUAUAUAUAUAUAAUGAUAUUAUCAAUUAUACUACUAAUUAUACAUGUCUAUUAAUAAAAAUUAUUAAUUAUUUAUACUAAAUUUAUUAAUACAUUUAUGUUAAAUUCCUAACUACACUUAAUACAAUAACACUUUUUUCUAAAAAAAAACACAAUAAUAAUUUAGUGAUUGUAUUUGUAUCAAAAGUGAAAACUUGAUUAUUUUAGUUAUAUUUGUUUUAUCAUAUUAGAUUGUAUUCAAAUAACCUUUGUUUAAUUAUUUUUAUGAGUUUCAAUUGUGAAGUUACAAUGAAUAAUAACUUGGUGAUGUAUUGAUAUUUUAGUACUUGAUUAUUUGCUUAAAUUUAAUUAUAAUAACAUUAUAUAAUAAUUUUUUUUAACCCCGCGGGGGAAGUGAGGCGGGGCGGGGGAAGCCGGAGGCGGGGGAUGGGAGGGGCGGGGGCGGGGGGAAUUAAAAUGCAACGGGGCGGGGGUUGGGGGAGGUGUCCCCCGCCCCAUUGCCACCCCUAAAAUCAACCAAUUUGAACGGAAAAAAUUUUUUUUGCAAAUAGAUUAUUUAGUCCUUGAAAUUUUUAUGAAAAUUAUCUUUUAUCCAUGAUCUUUCACUUUAUCCCAUCUAGUCCUUUUAUUGUUCUUUCUUCUAACACCGAAAGUAGUUCUUGUUUCACUUUCUUCUACCAUCAAAAUGGCCGGUUUUAAAAAGUUGACCAAAUUUUUAACUUUCUCUAAUAAAAUCUUUACUUUCUUCUCAUUUGUUUUAUUAUCUUUCGCACACAAUUUCUUCCUUGUCAUCUUCACUUUCUUGGACUACUUCUGCCAUUUUCUUUUUGAUGUAGUCUCUUCUUUUUCUCUACUCCCUGUUUUCGUUUAUUUAAUCCUUUUACCUUUUUAUUAACACCAAAACUUCCAUCACCAAAACAAACUUUUUCCAUCACCAAACUUAGUGGCUUUAAAGCGCACGACAAAAGUUUCAACAAUUCUUUUUGAGAAAAAAAAAUGUUUUUUCUUUUUUGUUGUUUCCUUUUAUUUUUAUAUAAUUUUUCAUUUUCUUUCUUAUUUUCUCCAACUAUUUUCACCAUUUUCUCUUGUAUUAAUCUUUCCUACAUUUCUUGGUGUAGAAAUUGUAUUACACUAACAAGUGUAGAUGCAUGCCAAAUAAUAUUCAGAGAUUCACAUUUUAAAUUGUUCAUUUGCAUGUGCUGUGCAUCCCAAUCCACUCACGUACUACACCGAUAAUAUGGAGGAGGCAACGUAAGUGAAAGAUACUGGGCAGAUAAAGGAAGAGGCUGAAUAUUAAGAAGGGAGAGGAGACAGAGUGGGAAGUGUUGAUGGUGCGCAAAGUACAAAUUCAUUGACUUGCUUUGUCCGUACCACGGAAAGUGCCAAUGUAGUAUUCUUCUUAGAUUGAUGUAGUAGUACAAAAGGGUCCAAAUACUACUAGUAUUUAAUCUAUAGUUUAAAGUACAUCAGUGAGGAGGUCAAGGUCUGAAGGACCCAAUUAUUUAUGCUUUAACACAUUACUAUUAAUUGCACCCUGAAGCUCCUUUAAUUUCAAGAGAUACCCAUAUUAUUUAAGGGUAGUUGUUAUCCCACCAAAAUUGUGACUGUAGUUUUUUGAUGACAUCGUUUCCAACCUGGAAUGCUUUGGUAAGAACAUCAGGAGAAAUGGGAGGAUCUGAUCCGAAUACAGCAUUAGCAAUGGUGAUGACUCCUGGAUUCUGGCUGCCUAGACCAGCAAAAGCAACAGCGUCGGUCUCUCCUUGGUUGAAUUGGAAAUGAAUGAGGCCUUGAGGGAACACAAACACGUCUCCUGGAUUCAAAACCUUGGUGAAGAGCUUAUUCUUCAUGUUCAUGCCCGGAUUCGAAGUAACGAAACCAACAACAAGAGUGCCCUCCAAAACAAAGAGGACCUCGGUAGCACGAGGGUGAAUGUGGGGAGGGUUCAAACCAUAAGGCGCAAAGUCGAGGCGUGCUAAGGAAACACCUAAAGUGUUGAGCCCUGGAAUUUGGUUCACAUUUACUUGUGUUACAUUGGACCCGAGUGGCUUUGCUGUGCUUCCUGGCUUGUUUAGCCCUUGAAAGAAGAAAUCUUCGGGUUCCACAAGCUUUGGAUCCUUGCAUAUCUUUCCAUUGACAAAUACUGCAUUAACCAAGAUCAUGAAACAUCAGUUAAAGUAUAACAUGCAACAUUAUAGUACUAUCAAACAAGACAGUCAUGAAAUUUUCCAAAACAAGAUCAGAAAGUUUACCACCGCCAGCAUUGGCAUCAGGAACUGCGACGCAGAAAUCCUGCAAUGGACUUGGAUCAGAUGCAUGGACAAUUGUAAAAACAAGUGCCAAGAUGGCUGCAGCUAUGUGGAAGCGAAAAGCCAUGCUUAUCAGAGACGAAGUAUCAAACUAUAUGAGCUAGUUAGAAAGAUGAAAAGUUGUUUCUUCUCAGAUUGUGGAUGAAUAUGUGGUAAAGAUUCCUAUUUAUAGCUAUCUUUGGUUGAACCAGUCAUUAUGUUUUCUUAUCUCAACGAUUAGAAAAAUGCCACAUUGUCUUCCUAAUCUAUUUUUGUACAACUCAACCAACGAAUGAUUCUGCAACAACUACCUGUGACUUCUCAUUUUCUUUCCUCUUGCAAGUAUAGAAAGACUGAUUCGGUCAUUUAGGACAUUCCAACGAAGUGGUAUACUGAUACAAGGUGUUGACGGACCAAGUAACCGGUAAGACCUUUUCUUGAAGAGAUGGCCUUUGAUAUUUCUUGCUUCCAGAUGUUUACUUUCUUACCUCAGUAAAACGAUGCAUUAGUUGCAACUAAUCAGUUUGAAAUUCGCAGGCUCAAUCCAACUUUACAAAGUAGCAUCUGGGAUUAGCACGAAAGAAUCAAAUAUAUGGUAAUCGUCUGGGAGUAGAGGACCUAAUUACUUCGGAUAAUUAUACAAAGAUAGCUCAGAACUUGAAUUUCAAACUUCUUUGGCAAAACCUAUGAUAUGUAAUUAUAUUUGCAUAUUUUAGCUAGCUGGAAUACCAAGCAUUCAUUUCCUAUUUCCUGUCUGUGCAAAUAAUUCCUGUUUGCGGGUGAUAAAUAUUCCAAUCAAUAGCACCUAAAUAUAUAGACCUCUUUUCAUUGCCUGUUUCUUGUCCGUGUAACUCAGCGCAUUUCUGGACUUUUUCUUUCCAAAAUCAUCUCAGAACUUGCGAAUAGGCAGCUUGAAAGUUCAAAGUUAAUUCUACCUUCUAAGUGACAGCUUGAUCAUCUUAGUUUGAUAUUGCCGUGUUCUAUUUAAGCUAUUAAAUAUUGAAAAAGAAAGGAAGAUGUAACCCUUGAUUAAUUAUCCAAAAUUUUGGAUGAAACCAAUUUCAAUUCACUCAAUUCAAUUUAAAAUCCAGAUUUCAAACCCAUUAAUUACCCUAUUAAUUAUUGGAGUAAUUUAUAUUUUCAUUUACAUCAAAAUGAAUGAAUUAUUUGAGGUUAAAAUCAGGUUUAUGGUUCGACAAGUAGGUUUGAUAACUGGGAGUAGAAAUGGUGUAAAAAGGGGUGGGAGGGUUAAAAAGAAUAUUUGAAGCUAAAAUCAUAAAUUAUCCUGCUCAUUUAUAUGAUUUGUUCAUCUUGAACAGACAUUAUCUUGAAUACUUAGGAAAAUUUUCUUGUAAAACUAAAAGAACUAAUUUUAAAGAAUAUUCAUAUUAAGCACACUUGUAGAGAAUUAUCAUAUGUAUUAAUCUAUCAAUUAUAAUAUUUAUUAAACUUAAUUUAUACGAUCUGGAAAAAUAGUUUGAAAGGGAAAAUGAUACUUUUCCUCUCCAAUAUUUAGUGGUUGGAAAAAUUUCAUCCACAAAGUUUCAUUGCGAAUACAUUUAGUUCCUACAAAUUUAAUUUAUAAUCAAUAGUACAAGUGAUAGCAAAUCAACCAAUUUGGGUGGAAAAAAAAUUGACAAAUAGCUCGUUUAGUCCCUCAACUCUUUUUUUUUGUAAAUUAUCUUUUUUUUUCUUAAUAAAUAAAAAAUGAUAUUUUAUUUUAUCCUGUUUAAUGCUUCUAUUUUUUUUCCAACCCCAGAAGUACUUUUUGAUUUCACUUCCUUCAACCUUCAAACGCGACAAUGUUGAUUGAUGAGUAUGACCAAAAUUUCAACCUUUCUUUAAAAAAAGAAAAACUUCACUUUUCUUGGUGUUUUUUUAUUUUCUUUUGUACAUAAAUUCUUUGUUUUCCUUUUUACUUUCUUUUGGUGUUUUUGACACUUUCCUUUCUUCUUUUUCUCUAGUCCCUGAUUUUUGAAAUCUCUUAUCUUUUUGAAAUAAGUUGCAUUUGUUUGGAUAAAUUGGAACUCAUAUGUAUGCAUACUGAGUGUUAUGUAUUCCUUUGACAAAACAGCUAGACGUUGACAAUUGUGUAAAUUAAUAAAAUUUUGGCAAUGCAUAUGAAAAUGUGGCUUUACAAGAAUUGGAUUGGAGAUAUUCUCAAGUGUUUGAGAUGUUCAUUCUUGCAAAUGGCUAAAAUUCUCAAGUGUUUGGACUCAUUAUGCGUGACAUGACUGAUAAUGUUCUUUCUAAAUGUGGGAAUUGGAUUUGAGGAAUGUUAGGAAUAUUACUUGCUUGAAAUUGUCAAUUGCUGGCAGGGAGUUUAACCCUUUUUCAAGAGAAAACUCUGCCGAAAUUUUCUUAAAUUCUUAUUUAACAUGUGUGAGCAAGUUUCUAUCGUUUCUAAUAAAUACUUAUCUUGUUUGUGUAUAGGUACUAUGGCUCGCACAAGGAGGGCUCGUAUUCGUAAUCCUACACCAUCUUCAAGCGAGGAACGCACUCCCUCAUAUGAAGAGUCGCCUGAGGAAGAAUCUCCUUCGCCUGAGCCACCACCUCGGUCUCGCCGGAAGACCGCAUCCACUAGCCGCGACGAGCCGUUUCCAGAUUUUGACACCACUAGAUUCACGUCACUCGAGAAUCGACAGUGGUACGAAGCAGGCUUAGAUAAGGAAAUUAUCAUUGAAAAGCACCUGGCACCGGAGGUGGAUGCGCACUACCACGUCUCUACGGCAUUCAAGAGACUAGGAUGGGAGAACAUCCUUCAAUUGCCCAAGUACUACUACCCCAACCUGGUCCGGGAGUUCUAUGCCAAUUGGAGGAUCUGAUCCGAAUACAGCAUUAGCAAUGGUGAUGACUCCUGGAUUCUGGCUGCCUAAACCAGCAAAAGCAACAGCAUUUGAAUGUCCUUGGUUGAAUUGGAAAUGAAUGAGGCCUUGGGGGAACACAAACACAUCUCCUGGAUUCAAAACCUUGGUGAAGAGCUUAUUCUUCAUGUUCAUGCCCGGAUUCGAAGUAACGAAACCAACAACAAGAGUGCCCUCCAAAACAAAGAGGACCUCGGUAGCACGAGGGUGAAUGUGGGGAGGGUUCAAACCAUAAGGCGCAAAGUCGAGGCGUGCUAAGGAAACACCUAAAGUGUUGAGCCCUGGAAUUUGGUUCACAUUUACUUGUGUUACAUUGGACCCGAGUGGCUUUGCUGUGCUUCCUGGCUUGUUUAGCCCUUGAAAGAAGAAAUCUUCGGGUUCCACAAGCUUUGGAUCCUUGCAUAUCUUUCCAUUGACAAAUACUGCAUUAACCAAGAUCAUGAAACAUCAGUUAAAGUAUAACAUGCAACAUUAUAGUACUAUCAAACAAGACAGUCAUGAAAUUUUCCAAAACAAGAUCAGAAAGUUUACCACCGCCAGCAUUGGCAUCAGGAACUGCGACGCAGAAAUCCUGCAAUGGACUUGGAUCAGAUGCAUGGACAAUUGUGAAAGCAAGUGCCAAGAUGGCUGCAGCUAUGUGGAAGCGAAAAGCCAUGGUCAUCAGAAAGGAAGUAUCAAACUAUAUGAGCUAGUUAGAAAGAUGAAAAGUUGUUUCUUCUCAGAUUGUGGAUGAAUAUGUGGUAAAGAUUCCUAUUUAUAGCUAUCUUUGGUUGAACUAGUAAAUGCACAGUGAAAUCUCUGUAAACUAUUUCUUCACAAUUCAAUCAAUGAAUGAUUCUACAACAACUACUUGCGACUUCUCAAUUUUCUUUUCCUCGCGCAAGUACAGAAAGACAAAUGUGGUCGUUUGUGAAACCAAGGCCACAAGAUCAUGUAAAUAUUUCCAGCUUUACCAUAUGCAUUUUCCACAUAGAUGUGGAGUUCUGGUAAGACCUUUUCUCGAGAUAAGAUCGUAUUUAAUGCUUUUCUUCCUUCCAGAGUAUGAUUUUACAACUAACUUUUUCUUUUUUUUUUUUUUAACAUUUUGAUCGAAGGCUGGAUUAGAUGAAGAGGGAGGGACGAAGGGAGGAAGGGAGAGAGAGCGAUUGCCCGGAAUCAAACUUCGAAUCUUUAGUACCUUAAGCAGUUAGGGGUUCAUCAAAAUCAUAGAAAAUCAUUCUAUCUGAGCAAUGUUAACAAUUUUUGGAACAGCACAAAAAAGAAAAAUAAAUGUACUAGGGACACAAAAGAAGAACUAAAAGUUCAGCUUAUACAUCUUUUGUUGGUGACUGGAAAAGAAAAUCAUUAAUGAACCCGUUUAACAUUCAAACCUUAAUAAAGUGAUGCAUAAGUUUCAACUAAUCCUUUGAAAACUAAAGGACUUGAUCCAUCUGUGAAGUAAAUGGUCUAAUUACUUCCUUUUAUUGUACUAAAUAGGCUUUAGAACUUGAAUUUCAAACCUUCUCCGGAUGAUAAUUGAACAUCUUGCUACAGGAUGAUAAAUGUUCAAUUAGCAAGUACCUUUGAAUAACUUUGCACGAGGAUGGACUUUUGGUUUCUUGUUUGUAUUUUUCAAAACAAUCGAGAACUUGCAAAGGUAUGAUGUCACAAAUUUUUCUACCGCAUCCACUAGCCGCGACGAGCCGUUUCCAGAUUUUGACACCACUAGAUUCACGUCACUCGAGAAUCGACAGUGGUACGAAGCAGGCUUAGAUAAGGAAAUUAUCAUUGAAAAGCACCUGGCACCGGAGGUGGAUGCGCACUACCACGUCUCUACGGCAUUCAAGAGACUAGGAUGGGAGAACAUCCUUCAAUUGCCCAAGUACUACUACCCCAACCUGGUCCGGGAGUUCUAUGCCAAUUGGAGGAUCUGAUCCGAAUACAGCAUUAGCAAUGGUGAUGACUCCUGGAUUCUGGCUGCCUAAACCAGCAAAAAGCAAAUUUGAAUGUCCUUGGUUGAAUUGGAAAUGAAUGAGGCCUUGGGGAACACAAACACAUCUCGGAUUCAAAACCUUGGUGAAGAGCUUAUUCUUCAUGUUCAUGCCCGGAUUCGAAGUAACGAAACCAACAACAAGAGUGCCCUCCAAAACAAAGAGGACCUCGGUAGCACGAGGGUGAAUGUGGGGAGGGUUCAAAGCAUAAGGCGCAAAGUCGAGGCGUGCUAAGGAAACACCUAAAGUGUUGAGCCCUGGAAUUUGGUUCACAUUUACUUGUGUUACAUUGGACCCGAGUGGCUUUGCUGUGCUUCCUGGCUUGUUUAGCCCUUGAAAGAAGAAAUCUUCGGGUUCCACAAGCUUUGGAUCCUUGCAUAUCUUUCCAUUGACAAAUACUGCAUUAACCAAGAUCAUGAAACAUCAGUUAAAGUAUAACAUGCAACAUUAUAGUACUAUCAAACAAGACAGUCAUGAAAUUUUCCAAAACAAGAUCAGAAAGUUUACCACCGCGCAGCAUUGGCAUCAGGAACUGCGACGCAGAAAUCCUGCAAUGGACUUGGAUCAGAUGCAUGGACAAUUGUGAAAGCAAGUGCCAAGAUGGCUGCAGCUAUGUGGAAGCGAAAAGCCAUGGUCAUCAGAAAGGAAGUAUCAAACUAUAUGAGCUAGUUAGAAAGAUGAAAAGUUGUUUCUUCUCAGAUUGUGGAUGAAUAUGUGGUAAAGAUUCCUAUUUAUAGCUAUCUUUGGUUGAACUAGUAAAUGCACAGUGAAAUCUCUGUAAACUAUUUCUUCACAAUUCAAUCAAUGAAUGAUUCUACAACAACUACUUGCGACUUCUCAAUUUUCUUUUCCUCGCGCAAGUACAGAAAGACAAAUGUGGUCGUUUGUGAAACCAAGGCCACAAGAUCAUGUAAAUAUUUCAGCUUUACCAUAUGCAUUUUCCACAUAGAUGUGGAGUUCUGGUAAGACUUUUCUCGAGAUAAGAUCGUAUUUAAUGCUUUCUUCCUUCCAGAGUAUGAUUUUACAACUAACUUUCUUUUUUUUUUUUUUAACAUUUUGAUCGAAGGCUGGAUUAGAUGAAGAGGGAGGGAGGAAGGGAGGAAGGGAGAAAGAGAGCGAUUGCCCGGAAUCAAACUUCGAAUCUUUAGUACCUUAAGCAGUUAGGGGUUCAUCAAAAUCAUUCUAUCUGAGCAAUGUCAACAAUUUUUGGAACAGCACAAAAAAGAAAAAUAAAUGUACUAGGGACACAAAAGAAGAACUAAAAGUUCAGCUUAAACAACUUUUGUUGGUAACUGGAAAAGAAAAUCAUUAAUGAACCCGUUUAACAUUCAAACCUUAAUAAAGUGAUGCAUAAGUUUCAACUAAUCCUUUGAAAACUAAAGGACUUGAUCCAUCUGUGAAGUAAAUGGUCUAAUUACUUCCUUUUAUUGUACUAAAUAGGCUUUAGAACUUGAAUUUCAACCUUCUUCGGAUGAUAAUUGAACAUCUUGCUACAGGAUGAUAAAUGUUCAAUUAGCAAGUACCUUUGAAUAACUUUGCACGAGGAUGGACUUUUGGUUUCUUGUUUGUGUUUUUCAAAACUAUCGAGAACUUGCAAAGGUAUGAUGUCACAAAUUUUUCUCAAACUUGAUCUAGGUAUGAUGUCACAAAUUUUUCUUGUUUGUGUUUGAAUUUGCUAAGUCUUAUAUAAGCUACAUAAUUAAUGUUGGAAGAAGCAAUUGACCAAUUACUCCUUCAUUUAAUUUGGACCAAAACUAAUUUUUAUUUACUAAUUUUCUUUAUUUUGUGUGAAAACAAUUUUUAUUUUACUUAUUCAAGUUCAAAGAAAAGACUCUCCUACUUGCAAUUGGUGAACCCAUCUAAAGCAUCCUCACAAGCAAUAUAUUGGCCUGUGGUAGAUACAAGUUCAGAUACUGUAGACCGGAGAAAGGAAGAUGCUUCACAAACCAAGUUGUUUAUCUAAAGUUUUGUUAAGACAAUUUUGCAUGGCUUUGAAACUAAAUUUUGUGAAGGCUUUUAAUUUUUCAAUAUGUAGGCAAUGAAUAUAAUUCAAACUUUUUAUUAAAUAUUCGCUUUCGACAAAGAACACAAAUUAAUAACACUAGUGAUUAAGGCACGUACGCUGUGUGUAUCUGCAAACAAAUAUAUAAAAAUUGUAUUCAUUUGUGAAAAGGUUUUUUCAAUUUUAGUAUUCUGAAAACUAAUUUGUUAGAGAUUUUCAAGAAACAAUUAAUGAAAUUGAAUUAUUUACUUCUUCAUCUAGCAACUAAAUCACGUGGAAAAAAUCCAAUCUGGAUCCUCGAUCCCCUCUCAGAAAUCAUCCACAUCCCUUUAUCAGUCCAAAACUUCAUCUUUACUCAUUUCUACCUCUAACAACCUUUCCCUUCAACAAGUACCUCAAAUCACAAUUAACAACUUUUGAGUUAGAUCAAGAGAAAUUCCUAAAUCAGAAUAUAUGUAUAUAGGAGUUUAGAUUGAUAGAUUUGAUUACAGCUUUGAAACCUUUUCAUAUCCCUCUAAAUUUUGCGUAGAUGACUUGGGAGAUAUUUAGAUUUGUAAUCAACACAUAAAUUAUUGUCGUGCAUAAAUAGUCAAUGAAUACAAAUUUAAAUAUUUCUCAUUAACACAGUUCUCAUAUUUAUAGUCAAUGAGAUUCAAACGCACAACCUUUUGUAAAUGAGUAAUCUGUCCUUAUUAAAUAAAUCAACUUGUAUUAUAUUAGUGAACCAACUAAUCAUGGUUUGCUAAAUUAUAUUAAUGAUUGGGCAUCGCACGCGGUUAGGUCCAAAUUAUGUUCCAAUUUUCUUUUUUUUUCCCUUAUAAUUAUUGGAUUUAUUGCAUUUUUAGUUUUUUUUUUUUUUUAAAAAGGCCAUAAUGAGUAGUUGCUUUACUACGAAGGACACUCACAAAAACAUAGAGUUAUCUUACAUUCUCUCAAUAUAUUAUAAGGAUUAUAUUGAGAAAAAGAAAAGAGAACAAACUACAUUCAAGAAGGAAAUAGAAUCAAAUAUUAGUUUUGGUAAGUGGAAAUAUGUAAAAAGAAUUUAUUAUUCUAUAAAUAAUUAAACCAAUAUCAAUUUGGUCGUGCUUAAUUGGUGUACCAUAAAGAGUAGGGAUUAUAGGCAUGAAAUAAUUUAUCUAAGGAAUGGAUUUUUGUAGAUCAAUGAUUUUGAAAAUAUCACGUCUGCAAAUAAAACUAGGACGCUAUUCUCUCAUAGUAUACUUGGCUAGCUAUUUAUAAAAGCUAUUGAUAUCCAUACAACACUUUUAAUCAAUAAAAUUUUCUUUUAAUUGAUCUCAAGAAUGAUACCACAAAACUAAUACUUGCGCUGUGCAAUGCACAUACGCUCACACUAGUUCUAAUAAAAACUCCAAUGACUACAAAACUAAUCCAGCUUGGACCUCUUGAACCUUCAUCUGCUAUACUUGGUAAGAUUUUGGCUUGAGAAGGAUGCAAUUGUGGUAACGUUACUCUUCCAUUCGAUUUUCUUCUGAUUGCUGUUGGGAAACCUUGACCUUGAUCUUUGGCAAUGUGAGAGAUGGCUCCUGUUGGAGUAGAGCUGGAGCUUUGACCAUGUGGAUGCUCUGUUCCAGUUCCUUUGCUGCCUCUCUCUGCUCCAUGGUUUUCUUUCCCCUCAUCCUGCCAGUGUGUAAACAGAGGUUAGAAUGGUCUUUAGCAACUUGGAGCAAAAGGCAGAACCUGAUUUUGAAGUAUGAUGAAUGCACAAGCAGAUGAAAGAACCUCAUCGUAUGAUGUCUGGCCUCCCUAUCAACUCUGACUUUAUCAAUCUUCUUAAUGGCUUUCAAGGUGUUCUCCGUGACAUUCCUGUCAUUUCUCUCCGGCCUAUUUCGUUUUCUCUCAAAUUCAAAUGUUGAAUCCUACAAAUUUUUGCAUUGCAUCAACAAAAGAACACCGUAGCAUUAAUGAAGCUAAAGAAAAGGGUAAUAUAAGAAAAGUGGGCCAAGCGAAAUAAGAUUACAGAACUAAUUUUGCUCACCUGAGUCAUGUCCUUUCCAUGCAACCGCCUAUAAGCCUUGGUCCAUUUGACUUUGCGAGGAUUCCUCUUCAUCUUGAAGUUUUUGUGGCAUUUUGAUCUACAAAAUCUGAAGACCUGCAAAUGAAUAACCUUUAAGAAGUCUAGUGGUUAUAUUGUAAAUGCAAUCUAUAAAAAAUGUCAAGGACAAGUAAUGUAGAGGCAAAGAGAAUAGCAAUUUAAGAUCCAGAUUUAAUUUAGCAUGCUCCAACAGAUGCACAACCUAUACAAAUCUCGCAUCAGUUAGGUGAAGCACAUUUGCCAAAUUAGCCUUAAGGACUCUUGUACACUGCAACAUAUUUAACUAAUUCAGGAUAGCAGUGUCAGAGCAUCAUAUUUCCAUUGCCCGGAGAAACAUGCAGUAGCCUUUUUUAUUGUGCUCUCGCUGGUCGACAUUUCGUCUAUUUUUAUUGCUACUGCCCCCAUCAGGAACAACCAUUCCAACUACAGUCAUGCACAUGAAGGUGUGUCUAUACAUCUCGAUAUCAAAAUUUUGAUCUGGGCAUCAGAGAACAUAAGUUGCUGCUGUAGAUGCCAUAGAAUUUAAUGCAGUUUCUUAGCUGAAUCAAGAAGACAAAAUGACAAAUGGGAGUGAACAGGAAUGGGGAAAAAAAAAGUAGUUUCAUAUCGAGAAGACAAAAAUAAAAAAAUCUCAACUUUAUCUAGGGGUCUCAAAUUUCGAAAGCAAGACAUUUAUUAGAAACAAGAAGAAACAGAAAAUAAGGAACUUCACAAUUUACUAGUGGUUGUUUCUACUACAUGCAAGUUCAGUUCAAAUAUAUAUAUACAUGCUUCUGGGAAUUAGUAGUUUACACUUAAUAAAACAUUUAUAUAAAUUUGAUUAACAUACCGAAGACAUAUAUAUCAUAAGUAGGCCUGUCAAUCGGGCCUAAUGAGCCGGGCUUUGAUGUGUUCAAGCUCAGCUCAUUUAAUUUGAGACAUUUUCGGGCUUCGGGCUAUGAGUUUCGGGUUCGUAAAUGUGAAGCUCAUACUCAGCUCACAUAAUAUUCGGGUUGUGAGCCUUAAUCGGGCUUAGCCCAAGCUCACUUAUUACUCCUGAAUUUUCUUAAUAUAAUUACUAUAACUAUUAAGUUGUAAAACUAAUUUAACAUUUACAAGACUAUAAUAUUAAAACUAAACAUGAACAAAUAAUAGUUCUUAAAAAGUAUAUAAACCAAAAUUUUUUCAACAAUAUUUAUAUGUAAUCCGUUUAAAAUGCAUGAAAAAUAGUAAUAAAACAUGCAAUCAUAAGCCAAUACAUCUUUAAAAGUUGAAACUUUUUUUUAUAAUCUUGUGAUUUAAAUCCAAAUAUGCUUGAUGAUUUUUGUGUUUGUAGACCAAAAAAAAAAAUCAACCAAUAAUAUGCCAAUACAAAAAGUUACUCAACCAAUAAGAAAAAUUAGAGAUUUAGUUAUGCAUUACUAAUAUUGGCUCUCAAGAAAGCUCAUGAAAGAGUUUUAGAUGUUUUUUGUGUUUUGUAAUUUAUAUAUAUAUUUAGUAUUUAGCAAAAAUAUAUUUGGAUAUAUAAUUAUACAUAAUAUCAAAAUAUAAAUAUUAUAUAUAUGUGUAAUUAAAGGGCCGGGCCUAUAUCGGGUAUGAGCCUAAUAAGGCCCAAGCUCGGCUCACAUUUAAUUCGGGCCUAAUUUUUAGGCUCAAGCUCAGACCGGCUCACUAAAUGAUCGGGCUCAUCGGGCUUUCUGUCGGCCGAACGAGCCGAGCUCGGGCUGGCCCAGCCCCAUUGACAGUCCUAAUCAUAAGUGUUCCAAUCUUAACAAUCUCAUAGCAACCAAUCAGGGAAUCCAUUGCUUAACAUUACAGGUUUUGGCAAUUAAAGGUGUUUUAAUAAGUUUGCAAUGUUGGCGAUCUGAUAUCCAAUUUCAAUCAUAUUAGGAAGCUUAUUUUGUACAGGCUGGCUUCAUUUAUGAGUCCUAUAUUCUAGAAUUGGCAAUUAAAAUAUUCGGCUACAAUAGAAAGAGACUUGGUAUCCGCAGCAGACAUAACUCUUCUCACGUUAAUAUGAUUCAUUCUUAGAAAACUUGAUUAAGAUAUGACUGAUCCAAUGUAGCCUUGGGUUGGUACGGCAAACUAUGUCUAGGAGAGAUUCCGAUAGUUGUCUUCCUUUUGUCCUUUUUUCAAUUUCAGACGGUUCAAAUUACAAUUGAUCAUAAUGUUGUUGAACCAUAGUGCUAAAAUUAGACAACACCCUGCAUUUGAUGCCUCAUAAAGCACACAACUCUAGUUACUUAUCGUUUUACUAGCCAUCAGUCAUCUCUUAUUAUUUGCAUGUUUAUACAGUUUCCCAAGACCAGCCACAAAUGAGUUGGAACACAAGUAAAAAUGAGAACCACCACCAAAAUGAGACCAAUAAGGUAACUGGCAAAUUCAAUAAGAUAUAUAAAAUCACCAAGGUUUUAAACAUUAAAAUGCAUGAGCAAGUAGAAUUGCUAACAAGUUUGAACACACUUAUUUCACUUUUUAGAACUAUCUCUAUCCUAUCGAUUUGGCCUUAAUAUCAGUUAGCAUUGGGAAGCAUACCUAGCACAAAUAAAUCAAUCCACUAGAUCAUUCUGUGGAGAAUAUAUGAGAAGAAUUUAUCCUACCUUGCAUCUUAAAAUUCAAUGCAGUUUCUUAGCUGAAUCAAGAAGACAAAAUGACAAACAAGAAAUUGAUGGACAGUCAACCGGAGUGAGAAAAACUAGUCUCAAACCAAGAAAGAUGAAAAAUAGAAAAUCUCAACCUUUAUUUAAAGGUAUUAAAUUUCCAAAGCAAGAUAUUUAACGGAAACAAGGAGAAACUGAAAAUGAGGAAUUUCACAGUUUUUUAAUGGUUAUGACUACUAUAUGCGAGUACAGUUCAAUAUAUAUACAUGCUUCUGGGAAUUAGUAGUUUACAUUUAUUAAAACAUUUAUGUAGAUUUCAUUAACAUAAUAAAGACAGUCAUAUUAUAAAGUGUCCCAAUCUUGACAGUCUCAUGGUCUAGCCCUCACUCAUGGAAUCCAUCACUUAAUAUUAUUAGGUUUUUAGCACUUAAAGGUGCAUUAAAAAAAUGUUUGCAACAUUGGCUAUCUGAUAUCCAAUAUCAAUCCUAUUAGGAGAUUAGCUUUGUUUAUAUAGGUCUCUCUUCUAGAAUUGGAGAUUAGAAAUAUUAAGCUACAGUCCAAAGAGACUAGGUAUACAUACCAAUUAUAACUCUUCUCACGUUAAUCUGAUUCAAUCUUAGAAAAUUUGAUUAAGAUAAGACUGAUCCUAUGUUGCCUUGGGUUGGGACAGUGAAUGUUUCUGGAGAGAUUCUGAGAGGUUUCUUCGUUUUGUUCUUUUUUUUCCUUUUUUUCCAAUUUCUGGCAGUUCAAAUUAUAAUUGAUCACAAAGCUGUUGAACCUAGUGCUAAAAUUAGACAACAUCCUGCAUUUGAUGCCCCACACAAGCACACAACUGUAGUCACUUUAGACACAUGCUCCCAUGAUUUUACUAACCAUCAUCUCUUAUCAUUUGCACAUUUAUUUCAAGAUGAGUCACAAAUGAGUUGAGAAGAAGCACCACCACCAACAUGAGAGAAAUAAGUUCCUGGCAAAUUCAAUAAGCUACAUCCAAUCUCUCAGGUUUUGAAAUUAAAAUGCAUGAUCAAGUAGAAUUGCUAACAAGUUGAAGCCCACUUCUUUCUGUUUUUUAAAAAACUUUCUCUACACUAUCGAUUUGGCCUCAAAAUCAAUUUAGCACUGGAAAGCAAACCUUGCUCAAAUAAAUGAAUUCACUAGACCAUUCUGUGGAGAACAUAUGAGAAGAAAUUUAUCCUACCUUUGCGUCAUUCCGAACAAAUUGUAUUCCAUGUCCUGGAUAUACAGUAGAAGAGCAGAACCAACACUUUUCCAACCUCAUUAUGUCUUUCUAUUAAGGUUAGGAUCCUGAAAGACAAAGCAAAUGAUACAUGAUUGUUGAAAAGAAUAAACUCAGCUAUCGAUUUUACCAUGAAUGGGCUGUAAUCCUACAACAGCAACCAUGUUUAUCUUAGCUGAAGUAUUUUUGCAGACAAUUUGAAAAGAAUCCAAACAAACCACAACAGAUGAACCAGAACAAUAAAAGAGCUCACAUACUUCCACCCCCCCCCCCCGCGGGGCUCAGUCCCCUGCCCCAGGAAGGGGGAAAACAAAAAAAAAGAAGAGGAACCCAUCUAGGAUCCAUCAAGCAUAUUGUUGAGAGUUCUAUUGCAAUAGAAAGACAUCAUUUUUGAAAACGUGCAUCCAUUGAUUGUCAUCACGCUACCCUAUUCCCAUUGUUUCAAAAACGUGGCUUACAUAGACAAAAACAACCAAAAAUACCCCUCAUAAUUCUUCUUUCCUGCAAAUAGGAUUAAAUUUAUCAUUUUUUUGUCGUUCCUGUUACGUCCCAUUCAGAGGGAAGUAUAUGUUGAGCUUUCAACAAUUAAAGAUGGCUAUUCCGCAAGAUAUUCAUCAACAUUGGAUUAAGACAAAGGAGAGUUCUUUUUGCCUUUCCUCAAUCAAUUUUCAGUAAUCUUAGUCUUACUUCUUGCUUUCAUUUUCUUCUAAAAAUCCUAACUUUUUCAAGUAUAACAGAAAGACAAGAACAAUAAACACUGGUCUGGCUAUUCCUGAAACAUUCUUCAAUUAUGCAAAAAUUAGCUGACCCAUUAGCCACAGUAAUAUGAUUUAUAAUACUAAACAUCAAAUACCUAAGAAUUACAGACAAAACCAAAUUUAAACAGAUUAAUGUGAACUGAAAUUGCCAUUCCCACAUGUUAAGAAUUUCUGCCUAUUCACCAAGAACUUAAUUACUGAAUAAAAAGUGACCAAAUUCAGAAAAAUAAAUUAUCGAAAACCCAUUAAUUUGAGGACGAGAGGAAGAAAAGAUGAAGGAAGGGUAGCUCACCUGAGAUCAGGCGGUGGCGGGAGCCGCGAAGAGGCACCGGCGGCGGCGGGGGGUUUGCUGGAGGGUAUGGUUCCGCAACCUACGACUUGACUUAUAAGUGGAGAUUUUUUGGUCAACUCAACUGUAAGGUAAAAGUGAAGAUUUUCACACUUGGUCCCUAGAGAAUGAAAAAUUGAAACAAUUCACUCAAAACUUUAGAGAUUCAAAUAUUUAUCUGUGUAGAUGUCUUAUCUAAUACUAUCCAGUCCUCUUUUCAAGAGAUUGUUCCGGGCCAAGUAAGAGUUCUGCCAGCACAUAAGGAAAAAGAGGGUAUAGGGUUCUAAUUAGCUGUGAACUAAUCAUCAUUAUAGAAUAUAAAAUAUUACUCCCUUCGUCCCACUUUGAUAGUCUCGUAUUCCUUUUUCAUCUGUCCCAAAUUGUAGUCCAUUUUCCAAUUGAAGAAUGUAGUUGUAUUUUAAUUUUCCUAAAAUACUCUUAUUCAGUGUAAGUAGUUAUUACUAUAAACCUACCUCAUUUAAUGAGAGUUAAUUCUUUUUUUACCAUCAAUUCAAGUUCUCAUAAAGUUGUACCAUAUUUAAUGUGAGGGUAUUUUAGAAAAAUAGCAAUCUAAAUUUACUUUUCCAACAAAAUUAACUGCUUUACUUAAAUUAUGUGAAAAAAGAAAUAGGACUAUUAAAGUGGGACGGAGGGAGUAUUUGAGUGAUUGAACUCAGGUAUGGAUACUCGCUGAUAUGUGAAACCAAUAAGAGUUAAAAAAUUGUUGACUUGGAAGGUGUGAAUUAGAUCAGCCAAAUGAUGCAUUGGGUGGUAUCCGACCCAUGUCCACUCCUAUAUAAAAUUAAAUGAAUUUUGAAAAACAAAAGUCUUAGUUUGGCUUUUAAAAUGGCAAACAAAAUGUUUUUGCAUAUUGAGUUUGUGAGUGGAUUCAAUUCAUUUUGCAACACUCAUGAAUGCCAAACUUACACUAGGCCAAACGAGUGUACGAAUAUCCUUAAUUGCUUAUGGAGGCAAAAUUGAGUUGCACUAGAUGUAUUCAGUUAGUUACUAAAUUACAUUAAACCUUUACCGAAUUGAACAUGACUGUAUACCAAAUAAGGUGAUAAUUAUAUUGGUAAAAUUGUUGACACUAAAUUACUUAAUUCAAAUUGAAUUAAGUUUCUUCAUUUGUUUAUCAAAUUUGGGUUAUCGAUAAAAUUUUGCAAAUUUUAAACAUUAAACAACAGCAAGUUAUCUUGAUUAGUUGUAAAUUUUAGUUAUAACCAACAAAAUGAAAACAAAAGCUUUUAAUUGUCUAUUGAACCAGCUAGUUUUUGUUGUUCCAUAUUAUUAUUAUUAUUAUGAUUAUUAUUAUUAUUAUCAUCAUCAUCUAUACAAUAUAUAAUGCAUGAAUAAUGGCAAUUGAUGUAAACAUCUUUUGUCAUCUUUUGAACUUUUAAUUUUACCCUUACAAAAAUUAAUUUUUAUCUUAAUCACCUAGUCAUAUUUUACGAAUAUAACUAAUUAUUAUUGUAACUACCAAAUCACCAUAAUCAUAUAAACCAAAAUUCUUCCAUGAAAAUUUUAUAUAAAUUUUUUGUAUGUAACAAACAAAAUCUAUACAAACUUGAUUCAUUUCAAUUGCUUCCUAAUUGCACACACAUUUGGGUGUGCCUUAACAUUAGUAAUUUCUGUCGCUUAUCCAAAAAUAAAGAAGUUUUGGAGUUUGAGGUACUUAGUUAAGAACAGUUUGGCAAGCGUACUAAAAACAUAGAGGGCUCUGUAUUUCUUUUUUUUUUUUUUGACGAAAUGGUAGGAUUGUAUUAUUGAGACAAAAGUAUUUACAUGUCGAAUCUUACAAUGUGCCAUUAGCACAAUAAAUUGGGAUUAACCCAUUCCACAUCUUGGUAAACGCUCAACGCUUGAUCACUAAACUGAAAACUUAGAUCAUUCCUAUUAACUACUCCUAGGUAAAAGCAGCAUUUGUUAAACAUAGUACUCAGCUUUUGGAUGUCAUGUAUCAAUGUUGUUAUCCAUGCAUCCGUUGAUUUUGUCCCUCGAAUUUGCUAUAGGAGAUUUUGUCAGGAACUCCACUGUUGACUAGUCUCCAUCCCUCUUCCCCUGCCUUGAUUAGAGCAAGCUUAGCUCCUUCAGAAAGAUGUUGAAUUUGAUUCUCACUUGCUCUUUCUCUCAUUGCCCAUCGCAUUAGAUCUUGUCCUCUUCCAUCAUCUGCCACAAUGCCAUACCUUACAGCCUUUGCCUCUUUGCUCCAUUGUAUAGCUAUCCUCAGAUGCAUUCCUGUUGAUAUAAUAUCAGCGUUUUGUCUAGCAUUUUGGACAUUGUGUUGCUGUGUACUAUUGUUUUGCCUAUGCUACAACUCCUAGCUUUCCCUGCUGCAUUGUCAAAUUCCAUCCAAGCAUUACAGGCUUUAGUUAUCACCCAAGAUGGAUCCUGUAAUUUGCUGUUGAACUCCUUCUCAUUCCUGGUUCUCCAUAUUUGCCACAAGGUGUAGGCCGUGAGACCUAUGUGAUCUUUCCCUUGAACCCUGUGUCUUGCUUCAGUUACUGAUGCCCAGUUUUUGAAGUUUCCUGUCAAGUUUUUAAUUCCAUCCCAUUGCACUGGAGCCAACUUCCAUAUCUCUUUAGCUCUGCUGCAAUCUAGCAACAUAUGUUCCAGUGUUUCCAUUUCCUCUCCAGAACUUGAACAUAUUAGAUCUCGAAUCUUCACCCUUCCUUGGGUCCUUUCCAAAUGAACAGUUUAAUUUUGUGACUAAUGUCUAAGCUCCAAAGUACCUUCCAAGCUUGUUGGUUUAUUGAUCUCUUCCUUGCCUCUGCCUCUUCUGCCCAUUACUGUUUUAUACCGGAUUGCACUGUGCAUUCUCCCAUCUUGCACUCUCUCUUCUUUACCUCCAGCGCUGAUGCUUGUAUUCAGCAACACAGUAAAUUCAUCCUACGGGUUUCAUAUAUAGUAAAGUCUUUGAAAACACCCCAGAAUAUAUUUUAAAAAUGAAUAAAAUAGAAAUUUUAUUAACAAAUACUAAAGUAUUAGGAAUAUGUAUGUAAUUUCACUAUUAAUAUAUAUAUAUACACACACACUAGUAAUAGUUCACGUGCUUUGCACGUGAUUGUAAUAUCUUAAAUAUAUUAUUCUUUAGAUACUAAAAUUUUUUAUGAAAAUUUGAUCAUUAACAUCAUAAUAUAGUAUUUUAUGUUAUUUAUUUUUUUAAGCUAGUUACUUUUAAAAAUUUUAUUAAAUGAAAAGAGACCGAAAACAUUCAAUGUAAUUGACAUUUCCUUUAGGAUUGAAUUUGGAAUCAUGUACCGAACACUUUUUGAUUUAUUGUUUGAACUCUAACAUUUCAAAUAUUGAUAACAUCAUGUUUUACCAAAAUUAUUGUAUAUUCAUGAUUCUAUUGCAUAUAAACCAUAAUCAUUGUAAUUUUUUAUAAACAAGGAAUAUAAUUAAGCUAGAAAAAUAAAUGAACAUACAUGUAAUUUUAAAUUCUUUGUAUUAUGUUGAUUCUAUGUUUGUCAAUAAUGGAGUAUAAAUGAUUCAUGAUGUAAAGUUUUUUUUGGCUUGUAUAUUCUGAAAAUUGAAAGUUUAUAGAUAGAGAUAGUUAGAGUUUUUCUAUUUUCCUUUUUUAUUCAUAUCUUUAGCACAAUCCAAUGCGAAGCAAAAGCAACAAGUCUACUUGUUUCAUAUGAGCACAAUAUUUUUCGUUUUAGUAUUAGUUUUUUUGAUGAUCAUGGAAUUGGAGUGCAGAAUUGUGGCUAAUUAACAAUUUUAAUAUUUAUUUUUGUAUAUUGCAGUGUUAUAUUUUUAAUUGCCAAUUUUUAAUCCAUAAGAGCCAUCAUUAUUAUCGAUUAUUGGAAUGCACUAAAUGUCUAAUUACAAUUGUGACCACAAAUAAAAUUUACUUAAUUUUAAGUUUUCAUUUCAUAACCGUUUCCAUUAUUCAAAUAUUGCAAUACAAUAAAUAUAUGUAAUCAUUAGAAAAAAAAGGGUAUUUUGGGCAUCACCAAAAAAUUUGGAUAACAUUUUCAUUUUAACUUUACUCUUAGUAUAUUCUUAUUUUAUCAUUGGAAAUGGCUUCUGCCUUGAUAGAUGGAUUUGAUUUGUUCAACCAAUACAAAUGAAGCAUUACAUAUUAUUGUCAAUAAUAAUGUUGUCUUUCCUUGGAUAUAAGUGAUUUGAAUGUUGUCUUUGGUAUUAUUUGAAUUGUAUUCUAAAUUUUUUAAUUCAUUUGCUAUUUACUAUGUCAUUUUAUGAAUAGUUUUCAAUUAUUUUUUUAAUUUUCUUGUUUUAAUUGAUGCUAUUAAUGAUAAUAGUGGUUUGUAUAUUGCUAUUUCAGAUUUCUUUUUUUUUUCCAAUUUAAUACUACUAUUUCAGUUAUAAAUAUGUCAUCAUAUUUUGUAUAUUGAAAUUCCAUUGGGUGCAAUAUGACAAAUUCUUUAUAUUAGCAAAAAGUGCAUAAUUGUAAAAUUUGCUCGUGAUAUUUGUAUGAAGAUAUACAGAUGAACAAAUGUUCUCUUCGUCUUGUAUGUUUUUCAUUUUCUAGAGAGUAUCUAUAUUUUGACAUGAUUUUUUUUUUUUUUACAAUCUUAACUAACGACUAAUGAUAAAUAUUUCAUGUUUCAAUUAAGAAAUUUUGAUACGUAUAAAAUGGAGAGAUGGAGUCAAGGAAGGUAAAUGUUUUUUAAUGAGCAAUUUUUAAUUAUAAUUACCAAUACUAUCAAGAUGUAAUCAAUUGGAGUGUUUUAUUUCUUUAAUUAGUGCCACAUUAAAAUGCAAUAUUCUAAUUAAAAGAUACGAGGGUAAUUAAGGGAUAACAAAAACUAAAAUAAAAAAAAUUACACUUAUACUCCCUAAUACCAAGAGUGGAGUGCAAUGGUAGGUAAAUAGUUUUUAAUGAGCAAUUUUUUAAUUAUAAUUAUCAAUACUAUUAAGAUGUAAUCAAUUGGAGUGUUUUAUUCUUUUAAUUAUUACCACAUUAAAAUGCAAUAAUUCUAAUUAAAAGACAUGAGGGUAAUUUAGGAAUAACAAAAACUAAGAUAAAAAGUGCUUACACUUACACUCGCUAAUAUCAAGAUUCAUACUUUUUAUAUAGUAAUAAUGAUAAUGAAUAUAUAAUUGAGCCUACUCGUGAGUUAAGGAGUUGAGUAUUUUGAAUUUGAAUUCGACUCAAACUCGAUGAGUUUUGAUUGGAGUUGUUCGCGAGUGGUUUGACGUAUAUGCAGCUCUAGUGUGCUGAUUAUCUUUGAGUAAUAUCAUUGCAUCGAGAUUAAGUGGUGGUAGAUUAUUUGAAUUUCAAGUAGAUCAUCUGAUACAAGACUUUUACUCUACCUACACCAGCGUGCAAGCUCGCCAACCUACUACUUAGCCAUAUAUUUAUGGUGUUAACCCACUUUCUCUAGAGGAGUUGGUCAUCACAUGUCUUGUGCGUGUGAAAAGUUAAGGAUUCAAACCUUACCUCCUAUAAAAAAAGUUACAACUUAAUGUGGUUUCGCUUAAAUCUAUUAUGAUCUGAUGGUGAUUCACUCUCCGUCGAUUCUCCGUGACCUGAUGGAUCAUCUCCUAAUAUAUGUUAGAGUACAAAUAGGUGUAGAUGGUAAUAAUAAACAUAUAUAUAUAUAUAUAUAUAUAUAUAUAUAUAUAUAUAUAUAUGCGGUGUUUGGUGUGCUAUGCUAGAUUUUUUUUGCCAACCUCCUACUUAGCCGUAUAUUUACGGUGUUUGGUGUGUGAUAUGCUAGACUUUUUGCUUGUACUUUUGCCAUUAGCCGUAUAUUUAUGGUGUUUUGGUGCGUGAUAUGCUAGUUUUGCUUGUACUUUUGCCACGUAAUAUGUUACUACGUGAAACUUAUCAAAUGAUGCAUCAAAAAUUGUCCGCAUGGUUAUUGGUUGAUAUUGUAGUCACUUGUAGUUAUUUUUUUCAUCAUCUAUUUAUCAAGUGUUUCAUUUUACCCUUCUCAUUCCAAAAUGUUGAAUACAAAAACAUUUAAAACCAAAUUCAUUCCUAUAAUCCUCGAAUUACUCGAGUAAACAUAAGCUAGAUUACUGAUGAUGGGCAAUUCACUAGUAUGCAGAAUUGACCACAAAACAGAGAAUCUGAAUUGGUCGUUGUGCCAUAUGCAUCACAUGGAUGCUUCACCUACCUUUUUAGUUUAGUAACUGACUCUUACCUGUCAUUCUCAAUUCUACCAUCUCUACGGACCGACAGGAUUGGGAGCAGGCUAUGUUUGUCUUAUAUUUUGGUAAGUAGUAUCAAGAAGCAAGAGCUAAGUAGUAAGCACCACUGGUACAGCAAAUUUUUAGUGUCUGUUUUAAGCUUUUGAUUAUGGACAAGUCUAUUUAUAGCUCCACUUCUUUUGUUUAUGUGCUUUGGGGACUGUAGAGGAGAAAUUGGCAGAGCCCAGAUAGGGAAAGAAGGGGAGACAUGGGGAAGAGCAUUAGUGAUGUGGGAGUGGAAGACUUGGUUGGAGCAGGCCUGUCAGUUGAGGAGGCAAAAGGGUUCCAAAGGCACCUCAAAGAUUCGAUUUUUAAGGUUAGCAGAAAUAGUGAUAAUGGGGAGGAGCCGUUUGACCCAAGGAACUAUGGAGGGAGCUGACAGCCCAGAAAUUGUUGAAACCAUGGCAUCCACAUGCUCUUCAUCAGCUCAUUUACUAUUCUGUUUAUCAUAACUAUGAUGAGUCCACCAAUGGGCCUCCUAUCUAUUGGUUCCCUUCACUGUAAGCACUGUAUUGAUGAUUCUUUUCAAGUCUUGGUUGAUUUUUACGAUUUUGAUUGGGUCUGACAGUUUGGAAUUCUGAAGCUUUUCUGCUUCUUCUUCUUUUUUUCUUUUUUGGGAAUUUAUAAAAGAUUAAUGCAGUUGAAAAGUUUGAAUCUUGUGACAUUGUAUUAGUAUGGGAGUUCUGAGGGACUAUGCUGUCAGGUGAUAAGAAAGUCAAGACUUUACCAAACAAAAAGAAAUGCAAGUCAGACUUUCAAUGUUGAUUCUCGUGUUCAAAAAUUUAGAUACCAUUUUGUUGUUAUAAAGCGUCCAACUCUUUUAAAAUAGAAAUGUGAAUUUCAAGGUUUCGAUCUUGAAGUUUUGCUUUUGUGACAGACAGUAAAGUUCUUUUAGGACGUAUACAAGUUGAAACUAAUGAAAUUCAUUUCAGGGCCUGGGGGUUAUUAAGGCAUGGAUAGAUUUUUCUUCCAUUCACUGCAACAGAAAUCGUAAGAACUUUUUCCUUUGAAAAAUCAAACUGCCCUUUAGGCAUAAUUUUGGUCAAUGCAUUGAGAGAAGCAGAAAUUGAACAAUUUUUCAGAACCAAGAGAGCAAUUUUGUUGCAAUUUUCACUUGAUGAUUGUACAUGAGCAGGCAACCAGAAUCUGCUUUCUGCAGUUUGAUGAAAGGCUUGCAUAUGUAUUUCGCUUUAGUAUCCAUAAAUGUCAUGUUUUCUUGCAUAAAUAAAUGAUGUAGACUGACCAUUUGAUAUGAACUCGGAACUGAGAUAUGGAUAUAUUCUGAGUUGUAAAUUACACACAUAUGCAUGAUUAGACAAUAAUUAGGCAGAUAUGGAAAAUUUUGUGUCUAAAAUGCAAAUGCAGGGCAUGAGUGUUGGACAUAUUAACCAACAAGAAAACUCUUCUCUAGUUGUUGAUAUGGUGCAGCUUAUAUUUAGCUCAAAUUUAUAAAGGCCCUUACACCCUUUUUAGGUUCAUUUAACUGCUUGAGGAUGGGAGCCUAGCUGGUGGAGACCAUAAACUUUUGCUUGUAUUAACUUUAAAAUUUCAAUGUGUGAACCGAACUUUCAGUGUCUUCAAACCUCAAUUUCAAUAUUGUCUCUUGCUGUAGUAGGUCUAAUGGUUGUUGCUUCCGUCUUGCCAUUGUUUGGCAAGUGUUUUAUGUAGAUUUGCCAUGGGUAACAUAAGGUAGAAAGAAAAAGAAAAAGCAAGGAAAAGGAUCUUUUGGACAUUUAAGCGGAAACUCCUUCGGAGAUCUGAAUUCAUGUCUUUCCUAGUGCUGGUGUCUUAACACUUUGCAUUUGUAGUCCUGUAAAGAAUUAUAUUACAUGGUAUGACAAUGAAGGCAACCGUACAGCUUGUCAAUAGUUGGCUGAUAACAAUGAUCUUCAUGUUUGAGCGUGUAUUGGUUCGUUUUUUCUGAUCUCCCUGAUGCAAGUUGGUUAAUCUUGUUUUCUUGAUGAUCUUGUGGGAUGAAUUGAUCAAAGGUGUAAAGCAACUUUAAGAAAUCACAGGCCUAAUUAAUUCUAUGGACUAAGCGCAUGUUAACCUUACUUGUCCUAGUAAUCAAAAUGUGGUAUCAAAAUGGUUUAAAGCAUGAAGUUAGGCCAGAAACAUGAAAAUUGAUUGACCUUUAAUGUCUAUUCUACAUGAAUACUUCAAUUCCUAACCAGACACCAGGACUUUGAUAAUGAAGAUCUAGUCAAUUGAUGUUUAUUCUUCCAGCAUUAGGUUGAUUCCAGCAUAAUCUUCAUGUUAGGUACCAGUCUAAAAAUACAAAUUUGGGACGCCUAAUGGAAACUCAUUGUCCAAGCUUCUGGGAGCACUAUACAAGGACCAAUUGCAAAGUUUUAGACAAUUUCAUAGAUUCUCCGUUGAGCAGCCUGAGGCAUGUACUCAAUUAUUACUAUUGUAAUCUUUUGUAAUUUAUGAAAAUUAUAUUUACUGUUUAAUCCAAUUUUUCUUUGUUGCUGAACAACUUUUUGUUGCUUUUACAGGUUUACUGGUCAAUUGUUCUGGACCAUCUCUCAAUUAAAUUUCUUAAAGCUCCAGAUUGCAUCCUUGAUACUUCAGACAAAUCAAAACAUGGGGAAAAUGGUUUCCAGUUCAGUGUUGAAUAUUGCCGAGUGUUGCUUGAUUCCAAGCAGUUGUCCAAAGAAGGAAGAUGACAGUUUAGCUAUAAUAUGGAGAAAUGAAGGAUGUGAUGACUUAGAUGUUAGUCAGAUGACACUAAGAGAGCUUCGAGAACUAGUAAUGUGAGCUCUCACUUUGAAUACUCGGCUCCAUGAACAUACUUGUAUUGAGAUUUACUAGUCAUUACUUCAGAAGUCGUUUUCUUUGGUGGUCACCAUGUAAUUUGUAAAAGCUGGCUCAGUUGGCCUUAUGGUGGGCUAGGGUUACCCUAUGAGAUUUUCUAUGCUGUGAAAGCAUGGUAUCAGUGCUCUAGGGCUUGAUUUCCCAAGCUGUCAGUGCUUCUUCUGUACAAAAUCGAAGCCCCUCCUGGCCACUCACAAGCCUACAGCAUGUAGAAUUGGGAAUCAGUGAACUGAUACAGUCCUGCUAAUUAGGUGACAAUGUUUCCAGUCUAGCUUCAGGAGCUUGAUCCUUACAAGCUGCAUCUAACAAUUUUCUACAGAGUAACAACCCAAAAACAACAGUUUCAUCUAGUAUUUUAUUUCUUGUUGUUGUUCCUUUUUUUCCUUUCUUAAUAUUUAUUCCAUGCUAGUGUGCUUCACUAACAUACAAUCUUUGAAAAGUAUUUACCAGGGCCAACAAAGAUCUCCUUAGGAACAUGGCAUGUUUAUAGAGUGUCCUCCUUACCUACCUUAGGUCCAAGAUGUUCAGUCUUUGUUUCUUUCCCACUAGUAAUGAGAAUUGGUUUCCCUAGAGUGCCAGAGGAUAACAAAGUUUCUUCAGAUAAAUGACCACUUCAUUCUUUUGUUCAUACAAGCUUCUUGUUUGCUAGGCUCAUGUUUUCUGUUGUUUAUUGAAAUCAACCUUCUCUGUCUAUUCCUUUUCUCACACCAAGUUUUCCAUAGGUUAGUGGCAAAUGUGCGCUGCAAAAUUCUCAAAGGGAGAUGCAAUUGCAAUUGACAUGCCAAUGACAGCGACUGCUGUUAUUAUAUAUCUAGCAAUUGUGCUUGCAGGUUUGGUUGUUGUCUCAAUUGCUGACAGCUUUGCAGCACAGGAGAUCGCAACCCGGUUGCGUGUGUCUACAGCAAGGGCUGUAUUUACUCAGGUAGUUCAAUAUAAUCUGUACAAGUCUUUUACUUUUAAAUUACAAAACUGGUAUUGAACUUGUGUACAAAUAUCUCAUGUUUAGCUUUAUGCGUUUGGUUGAUGCCUGUAAUUCACCGUAAAUCUUAAUGGUGAUUCUUUAGUUCGAGUGCUAUGAACUCCAAAAAUCUCAUCCAAUCUUUAUGGUGAAAAUGUUUCCUUUUAGUGUAUUCUGAUGUUACACAUGAUUCCUAUUUGAAAAUUAUAUUCUGGCGUGGUAGAUUCUUUUCUCCAAGUUAUUACAAUUUCGGGCACCAACAGUUGCGAAGAAAAUAUAACUGUAGCCCAAUAAUGUAUAAAAUGCACUGUUUGGACCAAUCCUUUAAUCUGCUACUGAUUUGGUUUACUUCGACUGGCUGGUUGCAAGUUAAUUUGUUUGAUUUGUCUGUUUAAGGCAGUUUUUAGUGGUUGGAAUUGCUUCUAAACUAUUGAGAAAAUUCAGGAUUUUAUUCUACGAGGAGGUCGAAAAGUUCCUUUAUACAGGUAAUGAUUUGCAUCUCAUCUUGGAUUGGGUCAUAUUACUUAGUAGCGAAGCUCUUACUAGUUCACUCAAUAACUUAACAAUAGUGUUUUCCCUCACCAUCUGGUUUCUUUAUCAGAGUUCUAUUGUCUGUUAUCAUCUGUAAGCAUCAUGGACAGUGAUGGGUACUUUGACCUGGAAUUUAUUUUGUAAAAUUGGACUAUAUCAUGUAUCAUCAGUAUUUAGGAGCAUUCGAACUCUUAUUAGAACAAACUGAGACUGAGAGAUAGAGAGUCCAAAAGAAAAGAAAACCAAGGGAAGAAAGGAAGAACCAAAUAAACAGUGGAGACAACAAGUAAUAACUCAGAGACUAAAAGAUUUCAGCGAACAAUAAUGUGUUACCAUACAAGUCACCGUUUACCUGAUCAUGUAGCUCCUUUGAUUCAGGAAUUCAGAGCAGUGCUAAUUUUCAUUGCACUGUUUGAAUGCCUUCAGUUUCCAGACAUCUCGUGCAUAUGCUAACUAUUUUUUCAUUCUGCUUUCUUAUUGGUUUUCCUUGCAUCACAUAAUUGGUUUAGAAGUACUUGGCUUUAAGAGUUUGAUUAAUCUGAAAGCUAAGCUCAAUUUUCAAUCUAUUGAUCUAAACAAAAUCCAUGAGAGAAAAGUCUAUUCGUUAAACACAGAGAAUUUAAGGAAGAAGUCCUUCGAUUAGUGCAGAGGGGGUUAACAAUGAUGGAAGAUCUAACGGGAUAAUGGAAUCCUAAGGAAAGAUGUGUUCAAAAUUUGAUGGUUCCUAGUCUCUACAAUGGUUAUUGUGAUCAGAUUUGUUUUUGCAGUCGAGUGGUGGAAGCUGCUCCUUAUGAAGCUAUUGUAAUUCCUGCAUCUGGAAAGGAGUUAGCUGUCCAGUUAAGAUGCCAAGAUUUGUCUUGGAAUGAUUUUCUUUCUAGUGUGUGUAUCCUUCCAAGGUAAUAUGAUACUGUUCUCUGAAAUUGCUUUUUCUUUUAAAACAUGUAUGAUUCACUAAGAAAGGUACAUGUCUAACUUUUAAAAAUGUAUAAAUCUCUUCCAAUUUACUGAAUAUGUAAUUUUGAAACAUUUUCCAUUCUGGCAGUUCAAAUUACUUCACACCAGCUUAUCAACCUAUAGACUCUGUCACAAUAUCCUAUUUUCAUCAGGAACCACAGGUUAAAAAGUUAUUUUUGAUGGCUGCUUAUACCUCCACUUUAUUAUAUUUUUAUUUUAUCAUGAUUUUCUACAUGUUUUUGUGUUUAUGCUUGUUGUUCAAUAGGAGAACCAAAAGCUAUUCCAUGGACCAGCAUUCUCCCAUUAGGUGUGCUGCUGAUACAUGGGCACAUAUUGAUGUUCAAGAGGGAGAUGUUUUCUGCUGGCCUACAAAUUUAGGUUGGGUGAUGGGCCAAUAUUGCUUAUUCAUGCUUUCUGUCUGGCGGAACACUUGCUCUAUAUCAUGGUUCUCCUUUAGGCCGUGGUUUUGGGAAAUUCAUUCAGGUGAUUGCCACAGAUUCCUGUGUCAGUUAAGAGUAAAAUCAUUUCUCCUUGAAAUGAGGAGAAUUGUUAUUUGAUCCUAAUAAUGAACAUGCUGCGCACAUUGGUCCCUUACAAAUGCCAUUACUGCUAACACGAAUAUCCUACCAAUCCCCUACUCUUGCCUCUUUCCAAUUUAUGUGCUUUAUUAGGAUGCAGGAGCAACUGUAUUGGGUACUGUUCCAAGCUUAGUUAAGACUUGGAAGAGUACAGGGUGUAUGAAUGGCCUAAAUUGGACAAAGAUAAGGUAUUGUCUGUGACAUUUAUAUUUAAGUGGUUCUAAUGGUUUGCCAAUAAAGUACUAGAGUUUAUAAUCUUGUGCAGGACUUUUGCUACCACUGGAGAAGCUUCAAACAUAGAUGAUGACCUUUGGCUUUCUUCAAAGGCUUACUACAGUCCCAUUGUUGAAUGCUGUGGAGGCACAGAGCUUGCAUCAUCAUAUAUCCAAGGAAACCCUUUACAACCACAAGCAUUUGCAGCAUUUAGCUCUGCAUCAAUGUCCACAAGUUUUGUCAUCCUGAAUGAAAAUGGGCUUCCUUAUGUAAGCACUUUGACUGGUGUCUACAAGGCUUCAGUAUUAUUUAUUGCAAUAGAAUUGCUGCAGCAAAUACUUUUGAGUUCUGCAAUCAUUUAUGAAGAGUGGCUUAUUUUCUGUUCAAUAGGCUGUAUUGCCAAGUGACUUGUUGUUGCUGUUUCUUUGUGCCUCUUACAGUAGUAUCACUUGAACAAUUUUAGUAGACCUUUCAAUUGAGAUCGACUGAUGCUUAAUAUCUAGUUUUUAUGGUACAGCCAGAUGAUCAAGCAUGCAUUGGUGAAGUGGGUUUAUUUCCUCACUACAUGGGAGCAACUAAUAGAUUGUUGAAUGCUGAUCAUGAGGAGGUGUAUUUCAAGGGCAUGCCAUAUACAAAGGAAUGGUAUGCUGUUGUUUGACUUGAAUUACUUCCUUUUUUAGGUUUUAUAUAAAGUUGGAUUACCUGUUUAUAUAGCAAUGCCUAGAAAAUUCGCUUGAAAAGUCAUUUCAACAAUUCUCAACUUUACCACACAUUAUCAUGGACUAUAAAACAAGCUGCAGCAAAAUGAUUUCCAGCCUUUGAGCUAUGUAGUUGCUUUCUUUAGCUGCUGUUCCUAUCGUGUUUGCAAUCCUUGAGAUUUGGCCUCAUUAGCUGUGCACAAGUGUCAGUGGAGCUACCAGGAUUAAAACAGUGCACUGGUUAAAGGAACAGAAAGUAUGUGGUUGGAGUUCCCAUGCUUGUAAACUUGGGCAUAAAUUCAUGAUUGCAUUGUUUUUGUGAAUGAUUUCAAGGCCUCAAGCAUCAGUUCACAGAAUCCAAAAUAACAGUGUGCCUAGGAGGAAUCAUGCUCUUUCUAACAAUUUUUGUCUUGUUUAUCCAUUGAUAGGUGAGACUUCCUUGGGAAGAAUAAUAUGAGAUACAUAACAGUAGAAACAGCUGGUUCUCUGUAGGAAACAGCUAUGCAUCAAGACUAUUAAAUGCAAACCAAUACUAAGAACCACUUCAAGUCUAGUCUUUCUCAAUGGAUGAGAGCUCUGGAUUUAUACUUAUAGAAUUUCUGUGGAUAAAAUCGGGUGGUCCUUUACUUCUUUUAUAACUUAAUUUCUAUUCUCAGCAACUUAGGCGACAUGGUGACAUCAUCAAACGCACUAUUGGAGGGUUUCUCAUUGUACAAGGCCGGGCUGAUGAUACCAUGAAUCUGGGGGGAUAAAGGUAUAUCUCUAUCAUACUGCAGAUACAGUCUCUUUACCUGCGCUAUCUUUCUGUCUGUCUACAGUUUUAUCUUUUUUGUUUUGGAGAUUGCUGCUCUAGUUAAUUCGAAAAACACCGAGAGCUAUUACCCUUUUCUUAUUUUGUAGCUUGCCUUUUUACCUAUGUUUUACUGAGAAAACUGAUUGUAUUCGUAUAGAGUCCAGGAUGGAAGAUUUCUACCUAAAAUUUUCUUUUGAGACAUAACUUCUUGAGUUGGAAAUGGAUUUAAUUUUCUUCUCUAAUAUAAUAGAAUGGCUGGCCUUGAGCUAUUAUUGGUUUUCUGCAAGUCAGUACUUUGUUAGUUUGCUACUUAUUUAUUUAUUUUUAUUCCUGUGCAGACUAGUUCAGUUGAGAUUGAGCGUGUAUGUAACCAGGCUCAUGAUGGUAUCUUGGAAACUGCCGCAGUCAGCACUCCACCGCCGAAUGGUGGCCCAGAGCUGUUGGCUGUAUUUGUUGUGCUAAAGGAAGGAAUCCGUGCUGACCCUGAUUUGCUGACGAUGAAAUUCUCAAGAGCCAUACAGAGCAACCUCAACCCUUUAUUUAAGGUUUGCCAAUGCCCCUGAAAAUGCAGUGAUUGUCUUGUUUUCAUAUUCGAUUACUUUAAUUCUUGGGGUGCUAAUCCGUGCAGCACCUAACCAUUGGAGUAUACAUGCUAGACAAGGACUAAUGUAGAGUUUACAAAGAAAAUCACAAAGAACCUUAGUCACAGCAAUGACUUUUCUUAUUUUUUCCCCCCUUUCUACGAACAAAGAAUCUGAAUCCAUUCCAUGUCAGCGAUGGGGUUAGUUCGAUGUUCUGACUUCUCCAAACCCCUGAAAUUGAAAUGAAUGACAACCUUGGGAUAGGUACCUAAAGUUUGUAUAACCUUUACCAUGACACUGAGAAACAUAUUCCUAGGAUAUUGAGUCUAGUGCAGUUUGAAGUGGAUGCCAUGUAAAUAACAUAUUGCAUGCUUGCCUGUCCCAAGUAGUUUGUUCAAGAUCCGUGUAGAUAGAGGGUGUCUUUUUUUUUGCGAAACAAUAGACCCUACAUUUUGUUCUAUACUAUGGGGAGGGGAGAGGGGGGGACCUAAAGAGGCCUAGAGAAAACCGGAGGGGACUAAACCACCUACUGGCCCAAAUAAGUGCACUAUGCACUCGUCCGGUAGCCACUUGAAGUGGCCUGCCACAUUUAGUGGCAAAUGGGGGAGGCAGGGUUUGAAACCCUGACCUCCCACCCCACAGAGAUAGGUAGUAUUAUUCUGGCCCACUUUACUGCUGAACUUAUAACUUAAUUGCUAUAGAUAAUUUUCCAUACCAAGUGCCAGUAAUACUCAGUACUUGGUGAUCAUGAAUCUUGUUGAACAACACACUAUAUGGAAGUUUUACAAGUCAAGUUAUACUUUAGCAUCAUCUCCCUUGGCCAGUCAAACUUAUAUCGGACAAAGGAUUUUAAUGUUUCUGUGCAAGAGCAGAUGUGCUACUGUGAAGUGCAUUAAAUUUGUGCGCCGCAAGAAAACAUUCGGUAGCAGUUGGAUGAGAUGGGAUACUCAAUCUAUUCUCUAAUCUUCUCUUUUUCUUCCCUGUUGAAAGUGAACCAGAGUCACUGAUAAAGUCACAUUGCACUAAGUUUGGUUUGAUUGGUAUAGGUGUCUGAUUUCUGUUCUAACUUAAUGUAGGUAAGUUUUGUGAAGAUUGUCCCUGAGUUUCCUCGAACGGCAUCAAAUAAGCUUUUAAGAAGAGUUUUAAGAGAUCAGUUGAAGCAGGAGCUUAACAUACGGAGCAAGAUCUGAACAUGGGAUUGAUGUUUCCAAAACUUUGUGCAAUAAUUACUUUAUUUCCUAUUCCUGACAGGACUACGUGCAAUAAGAUCAUUGAGUGGUUAGUUUCUAUGUUUUCCAUCAUAGCAAAGAACUGUUGAUAUUGUGAUCAUGGGGUCAUAUAAAGAAAUUGGUUUUGUUAUAAAGAAGUUAAAUUUACUCGAACUAUUAGUACAACCUAGUUCUGCAUCUAUAGUGAUAAUAUACUGUGUUGCAGAAUUUGUACACUUUUUUUUUUUUUAAUCCCUCUGCUUUUCAGCUUGGUUAAAGCAAGUGUAAAACCAAAACGCAUCAGAAAAGAAAGUAAACUGGUCCUUCGUUGCUGGUAAAAGUCCCUGCGGGCUAUCAUUUUGUUAAGCAGGUUUAGUAGGCCAAUUGGGAGUUUAGUUGGAGAUGGAGCUUCUAUUAGAGGGACAGAAGUCUACCACAAAGAAGCUUUGCAAACUUUCAAGGAAUUCGCGUCUACCUAUAUGCAUUACAUGCAUACUGGACAGAAGUCUGAUCUGAAAUUCAUCUGAUCAACCAAGAUAUAUAACCAAAUGUAGUCAUGUAUAAAACUGGACUGACUUCAUUGACAAUACAAAACAAUCAUUUAUAGCCGUCAAAAAAAAUAUUUACGGCUGUUGAAAAAAAAUUAUUUACAACCGUCUCAUGUCUCAAUGUCAAUACAUCAAGUUAUGAACAAAUUACUAUAUCAACAAUCCGAACUUCCUACCUACUUGGGACUGUACAAUUCAGAGGAAAAUACUACUCUACAUUAGUCCAAGAAUUCAGAGAGGAAAAUGCUACCCUACAUUAAUUGACAAUCACCCUUUCUUCUGCUUUUCCAAAUCAAAAAUAUGCUUCCUCCAAGAAUUCCUCCCUCAUGCGCAACCUGAGCUGUUCUAAAGGGUUCACAAUGUUGCCAUUCUUCAGGACUCUCAGCACCAUGACAGGUUGAUACCCGCAGCGGUCGUAGACAGGAGAACAUUCGCUUAACAUCUCGAGUUCCUUGAGAAUCAUCAGAUUUUCCUCGAGUUCAAGCUCUGCUUUCCUUUUCAUUGUCUCCAAAGUAACCCUGGCAGCUUCCCUUUGUUGACCAUGGAAUUGAAGUCCAUCUUUUGGUUUUAGCAUAUGUUAGGUAUAUGGCAGUUAUCUAGGGAGAAAUAGCUAUAUUUAUAUUGGUUUCAAAUCGUGGAAUGCUAUGAUAUGUAAAUGUUUGACAUGGUUAACUUUUGUGGUUUGACAUAUUAUGGUUGCCUACUAAUGAUAAUUUGUAAAAUUUUGGUUGAUAUUUUCCUUGCAUACUUUUAUAUUUUGAUUGGGUGGAGUGUCUAUACAGAUGAUAUGGUCACUUUCUUAUCACUAAAAUUGCUGGGCUUAAAAAAGCUAAAUGGUGAAAUUAGAAAUUAAUAUGUUAUAGUGAUACGGCUGUUGUCAGGAAAAAUGACCUUGUAUUGUCAUUAAAAUUUUAAGCAAGUUUCAAUGCAUGACUUUUCUUGACAAUUGAAACUUUAGUCACAAAGUUCAGGGUCUUUCCCGACAAAGGCUCAUCAAGACUAUGAGGUCUUUCCCUAACGACCAAAUCAUCACGAUUACCUUUCCUGAUGAUGCAUCACAGAAAAUGACACUUUUCUUGAUGAGAAUUUCACUAGUUGUCGGGAAAACCUUUUGCUGACGGCGUAUGAGUGACCAAUAUUCCCUGACAAUAUUGACGUCACGAAAACCUUUCCUGACAAAAUAUGUAACUUUUCUUGACAAAAAUUGUUGUCACUAGAAAUUUUUUUUUUGGUUGUAGUGUAACUUCUUUCCAUCAAACCUUCUCACCUCUGGAACUAAAGUAUCACCACAUCCAGUUUUCUUCAAGCAAGUCUUGUACCUUGAUAGCUCUCCAUUACCAGCUACCAUGCUCCCCUCCAAUUCUUCCCCAUCCAUGCUACUUUCUACAAGCUUGGCACAAGCCACUCUAUUUUCAGCAUGCUACAAGAAGAAAAGGCUCAAUAUUUGAUUUAUUUUGUUAAACACUUCCAAAAAACAGAUAAAAAAAGAAAAGCCAUUGAAACAGGCAAAUAGACUUGCAGUCAACAUUUUUUACCUUCAUUUCCACAUUCCGAGAAUUGUAUAGCACUCUGGUGGGCAAAAUCACAGAUAACUACCUUCCAUCUUCAAAACUUGAUUGAUAAGUGAAAACAACUUCUCCCUCUUGACAUUCUCAUAAGAACAACACGAGAACCUUGGUGUUCUUUGUCCAAAAAGCAUGAUCUCUACUUCCUAAACAAAUUCUGGAAAAAAAAAAAUCAUAAUAUUACGUCACAAUGCUACUUCAGUUAUGACAUUAAGUAGAAGCAUGAGCCACGGAAAGGUUUGGUCUGGUAACUAGUGCAACAAUUUAUCACUCAAAUCCUAAAGAGUCAACAAAUUAAGCCAAAUUCCAUUGAUUAAGCCAUAAAGAAAAUACACUAGUGUAGAUACCACCCUGCAUUUGGCACAAUUACAUGACUCAAACAUACUUGCAAACUUGGACCAAUUCCCUUGUACUUCUAGUAAGUUGGGUGGAGACACUUCCAAACCACUUACCUCCUCAUCUUUCUUCAAAAACGAUUGGAAACCAUUGCUUGAUGCUGCAGUUGGAGAAUGUGAAAAGUGCAAUAAGAUGCUUUAGAGGUUCCAGGCUGACUGUGCCUUGAGCACGCUUUUGAGCCUUCCAUUGCUUGCAGGCAAAUGUUUCAGCACUGUCAUUGCUUGCUGCUUCACCGACACUUGUUGCCUGCAAGGCCAUAAUAUUAUCAAUCCAAUUCACAAAAUAGAAAAAGAGCACCCUAGUUAUAGUGUCUGAACUUUAAAAAUUUCCAAAGAUGAUAAAAAUUUAUAGUUUUAACGGCACCCUAGUUCCUCUGCAAACAAUUUCAACUCGAUCGACAUUGAGCUAAUUUUAUGGCAAUCAUAACGCAGAGCCCUACGGAAGAGAUAAUAGUGAAGAUUAAGAACAUAUCCAUCCAUUAAAUGCUAGCGGUAACAAAAAAAAAUUGUAAUGUUCUCCCAAAUUGCUAUUUCAUUGGUUUUAAGGUUGUUUGGAAAUAUCAGUGACAGGAAAAAAUAAGAACAUACCCCAUUGAAGCUGAAUGGUUACGCUUGCAAUGUUAGUGAAUUUCAUGGACAAAUAGUCAGUACCAAGUUCACAUGUAGUAGUGAAUUUUACCAUGCUCAUUAAUCCUUUGGAUGGUUUAGAAAAGCAGAUGAAAUCCACAAUUUUAUUGUCUUUCAAUUUGCUCGUAACUCUAAUUUGUUAAUGGCAAGAAUUAGCUUAAAAAUUGAAUGAGAAAGUAAUCUUCGCCAGAAGAAGUAGAGGAAUAGAUAUUUAUGGAGAGAAAGAGUGAGGGACAAAUACGGGUAGAAUAAGAUGAUCCAAUAAUGAGAAGCAGUUAAUUAAAAUUUUGAGAUGAAAUCUUACCGGAUGGCUCAGAAAUACCGAAAAUCAAUUUUACGCUCCGGAAUAUCAGAGAUCUUGGGCCACUCGGAGCCGCUUUGAGGAGUGCAUCUUCGAUUUAAUAGAGGACAAAACCAAAUUUCCAGACGUCUUAAUUUGAGGCGUUCCAUGGCGGCCAUGGAGGGUAAGUAUUCAAGCUUUGGGCAACCCGAUAGGAUUAGGUCUUCAAGAGAUGCAAAAUUCCCAAGCCAUUCUGGUAAGGCUUCGAUUGCUCCGAAGUCACCUAGAGACAGUGAUGUGAUGGUAGUCAAGCAUUGAAGCUGAUGUGGCAGAGACUUCAUGUCGGGCAUUCCACAUAAAGACACGCACCGGAGUGUUGAUGAAGAUGCUAACCCAGCCCAAUCAAAUUUGAUUACAGAGUCAUCUGUAAAGGGACCAAUCUGCACUUCCCUUAAGCUGGUAAGAUAGCCAAAAUCCACUAGGCAUCUCAGCAAUCAAGUUGGGACAGUCGAAUAAUUUGAAGCUCGCGAGAGAAGGGGUUCGUCGCAAAUCAAGGGGAAAGGAGACCAGACUGUGCCAAUUGUACAAAUUCAGCUCUCGGAGAGACGUACAUGACUCGAACAUCUCCACUGGCAAUGUUGUUAAUUCAUGGCACCCAUAGGUAAGAAGCAUCUCGAGAGACUUAAGGAGGCUUUUCUGUCCUGUAUUAUGAUUUGGAUAUCCAAAUGAAUUGAUUCUCGGGCAGUCACCUACAGUCAAGCACCGUAAAGCUUGAAAUUGAUAGAGAUCAUCUGGCAACUCCCGUAAAUUCUCACAAUAAUGGACUGCCAAACUCUCAAGACAAGCGGCGCAACUCAUUCCUCUUAAUGUUAUUAUAUUAGGGCAACGAAACAAUCUUACAUCCUGAAGAAUUGGAAAGAGGCAGAGUCGCUCAAGCAUGUCAGUGGGUAGACUGUCACAGCCCUCAAUCUCAAGCUGCUCUCUGGUCGUUUCACUAAUUCUAGAGACUCGAUGCUUUGUAGACCACCCCUUAAAUAAAGGGAAGAAAGUGUGGUUAUAUUGCUCAAAACCUUUUCCGCCACCAAAACGUGGCAAUUCCAUUUGAUUUCCAAUACAUCAAGACUUGGGAAACGACUUGGAGUUGGAAUGGUGGUCAGCUUGGGGCAAUCGCUAAUAUACAACUUUUCCAGCACAGGAAACACAUCCAUCACACGUACUUCACCUGCGUUUGACAUCAUUUCGGGUGCGUCCUUCCACUCUUCCAAAAUUUUCAUGCUUUCAAGAGAGAGAAUUUUGAGGGAUGGAAAGAAUGUUUGUCUGCUAAUAGUGUCUGAACCUCCUGAUCCGCCAUCCUCCUCAGCACUUGCACUGUAGAAUGAAAGCCCAAUGCUUGUUGUGUUGUCCAAUCUAGUCAGAUAGAGGCACUUGAGGAACGGCAGCUGUCCAAGUGCAGGGAGUUUUCUGCAUCUUGUGCAAUCCUCCACCCGCAACUCCACCAGUGAUGUCAAUGUCAAAUUCAUGAACCAUUGUGGGAACUGAUCACCCAUGAACUUCAAAAUUUGUAACUCUUUUAAAUUUGGGUGAGGCUGGAGACCUUCCAACACAUCUUCAUCACAUUUAUCACUUUCGAUCCCUAUUGCCCCACUCAAACACCAACCGAUACAUAUUUGGCUUUUAGAUAGGUUCGCUAGUUCAGCAUCAUCUUUGCCAUUUACUAAUUCAAGAUUUCUGAUCUCCAAGGUGCCUUUAAGAUCUUGCAAGGUUCCAAGUUCUUGGAUACCACGACCUUCCUCUUGAUGACCUAUGUUAAAGAACUCUAAUGUUUGAAGACAAGUCAAUCGUCCAAUCCUGGAUGGCAUUUGGAUUUUGCGCCCUGCAUGAUCAUAAUAGUGAAGAUGUCUCAAGCUAAUCAAAUUGCUCAUCUUCUUUGGCAAACCUUCUUCAAGCAUGUUAAUUCUCAGUGUUUGCAAACUAUAAAGUUUGCAAAGAGAUUUUGGCACAGUUGUAAUCCUAGAACCUGAAAUGUCAAGUAAGUGUAAAUGUAUUAGUUUGCCAAUGGAGUUCGGCAACUUUUUGGCAUCUGCUCCAAACAAUUUUAGGACAUGCAAGUAUUGAACUUUGAUAACAUAUCAUCAGCUAUGCCACCCUCCAGAAAUAAUGUGCGAAGUGAUUCUGAUUUUUUUUCAUUGAUGGUUUCUACCGCCAGGUAACGGUCCCAUUGCUGCUGUUACGAUUCAAAAUUGAUUUUGCAAAAUCAUGCACAAGAUCAUGCAUUUUAUAUGAUGUUUUCCACUCCUUUUUUACUUCUUCCAAUAAGGAAGUUUGCAGCAAAGUUUUCAGAUACUUAUAUCUCUUUUCUCCAUUCUUUCAUUUUGGGAAUCGGUUGAGAAAAGCCUUCAGCCAUCCAAAGCUCAACUAGUGAUCUUGUUCCAAUUCAGUAUCUUGAUCAAAAAUUGAGCAAUAUGCAAAACAUUUCUUAACCGGUGCAGGUGAGAGAUGAUCAAAACUCACCUUAAUUAUUGCUCGAUCCCACCCUGAUCUCCAUUCAAGAGACUCUCCUCCAAAAUAGAUAGCCACUCCUCUUUCUCUUUUAGAUAACAAUCCUCCAAUUAGCUUUGCUGAGAGAGGUAGACCGUCACAUCUUCUUAAAACUUGCUCCCUUAUGUCUUCCAAUUC
Molecule: long non-coding RNA, 68124 nt
Filed under: Coffea arabica (coffee)
Lineage: Eukaryota; Viridiplantae; Streptophyta; Magnoliopsida; Gentianales; Rubiaceae
Description: long non-coding RNA (CARA_LNC000018)
Source: RNAcentral